UCCUGUUCUCGCACCAACAAUUAAGUUAGCGACUCUUUCCCUGUUGAGGUGGGGAUUUCCCGUCUCGUUGGAGUCAGAUGUGGGGCUCUUGCAGGACCCACCAGCCAUGCCAACCACUACAAGACGGGGUGCGAGCUACGGCAGGCACACAAGGUCGUUUCUAACACAUCGGUCAAACAUGAACCGUUAACGUUAACGACGAAAAGACACGAAUGCCCUUCCUUUGGAAUUCCCAAACCGCGAUGGUGAGAAGAUACCGUAAACGGCACGCCACCCAUUGCGUCCCCGUUCAGAGCCCAAAAGGUCACCACGAAAUAUGAGGAACAGAAAGCUUAAUUACAACCAAUAAAGCAAUAUAACAGGAAAAACAGUUAAAAAAAGAACAGAAAGCUUAUCACAACCGAUCAAGCAACAUUAAAAAAAAAGGGUAAAAAAAGGAGUUUUAGUACUACACUAAAAAAAUUAGAAAAAGGAAAAAGAGGAAGAAAUGAAAAAUAUGAUUGAACGAAAGGAAUUAAACCAGAUAAAAGAAUAUAUUGGAACAAGUAUUAUUACGUACGUGCAGGAGUCACCGACGUUGCCGCCGCAUUGGUGGAAGGACAUGACGGCCUGGACUUUGAGGCCGAUACGGCGGGCCAUCUCCAUGAGGUCGUCGUAGCCGCCCCACUCGUAUUCUCCCGGCCGCUCCCGCUCCACCAAUCCCCACCACACGUCCACCAUCACCCCCUCAACGCCGGCGCUCUUCAGCGCCAUCAGGCUCGCGUUCAUCGCCUUCCUCCGGUUCAACCCUCCCCCCGGCCGCACCGUGUCCAGCGGCAGCAUCACGUACACGGGCACCCCCUUCCCCUUCCCCGCCCCUCCCUCUCCGCCGCCCCCGAGGUACUCCCUAACCACCUUCUCGUCGGCCGUCGCCGGGUCCACGUCCGCCACCAGCGCCUGGCACGCCACCGACAGAUCGGGUCUCGUUGCCGCCAGCGCCGGCGAUCGGCACGGGCUCAUCGGCGGGGACACCGAGUCGAGUUCCCCCUGCCCCGAAGCCCGCUGGAUCCGACACCGGAGGUUCGGCGCCCCCGUCGUCUGGGGCUUCCGCAUAGCCGCCGUGCUCACCGCCGCUGCCGAUGACUGAUCGCCCCCGGCGGCUGCAGCCGUCUCCGACACCACCGGCGUCCCACACAGCGUCCCGAUCUGGUGAGACAAAUGAAGCGCCAUUCGAUUGCAAUCCCCCUUUUCUUCUUCUUAUUCUCUCUCUCUCGAAUCAAAACGAUUUCGAAUCGGAUUCACGAUGGUGAACGAUGCAGGUGAGGCGGCGGAAGGCGCUCGGCUUUAUAACAGGAGAGCGGGGUCGGUUGCGCCACGCGUCGAGCGUGGGGCGGCGGGGGGACCUGCGGCUACGAUGGCUCACUGCUCGGUUUCGAGAAUGGGCGGUCGGAUCUUGUCCGAGCGUGAGCGUAUCCCGUGUUCGGAUGGCUUCUUCACCCGCCGACCAAUAGCAUCCCUCCACGUAAAGAUUUCGAAAAGGAUACGCGUUUGACAGGACGGUAAGCACCGUCCACGGAACGAGUUCAGCGGACACGUGACUGGCGUAGAUCGUUCCUCACCACUCGGAUCCCGUGAGGCCGACGCAUAUAGCGAGAGAAGCGUGAAAAUGGUGACGGUGAUGGGGAAUAGUUGAUAUCAGCAGUCCAGAUUGAUCUCCUACGGUCCCGUAUGAGACUUGGAAGCUGACCCAAGAAGAGGCGCAUGUGAGGAAGAUAGAUAAGGGUUCAGCUCCGCCCACUUGGAUGACGAGAGAUUUCGAAAUCAUGUGAUCGAUUACUUAGUUGAUUCACUGAUUUGUUUUGAUCCCGAAGGUUCAUGAAUCAAUGGUGACCAAUCGAACACAAUACAUUUAUUGUGGUUUGGAGUAAUGUGGUUAAUUAAAUGGUAAGAGUGACAUUCGGACGUAAAUUGCAAAAGCUUUGUUUUUAUUGCCACGUCACUCUUCAUAGAACCAUCAGAUCUAUAUUAUCAUGUCUAUGUUCUUCGUUACCAUCAUGGCAUCAGGUCCAUGUUAUUAUGACAACUCUUCAUAGAUGAAGUCGUUUGCAUCAUGGGGAUCUAUACUUUGAAAAAGGAUUGGCGAUAAAUAAAACAACAAGCCCUUGCAGGUGUUAAUUCAUCAAAUCUUGUACUUUCUAGCUUUUCGAAUUUAUAGGCUGUCACAUGGAAAUGUUUAGUCAAGCCAUCCGAUUACUAGGGCUAAAAGCUGACUCCAUCCACGGGUAGUCCUUUCCUACUCGAGCCCUCUCACCCUGCCCAAGUGCUAGGUCGGCUUUGAAUUUCAUAUCAAACAGAUAGAAGGUGAAGUGGGAUUUCAAACAUAAUAUGGUCCAUCCAUUUCUGCACAUACCCUUUACCAUUUCUGGCAAAGGUCCAAAUAAUCCCACAAACACCAGAGUACAAAAGGGUAUUGUGAACAAUAAAUUGGGACAUAUCAGAAGCACACACGAAACAACAAAACAUACAUGUGCAUUUACGAGUCAAUGCGAAGUAAGCAAUAAUCUUUCACAAUUGUAUUCAGAUUUAAAAGGAAAUGAAAGCAAGAGCAUUCAAGGAUUCCAAGCAAUCACAUAUAACUCAAUUCAAAUAAGAAGGUUAGAUGAAUUCAAUGUCUAAAGGAAUGAAACUGGAAUAGGCACAUAUCGAAUGCAAAUGCGGAACAAUGGGAUAUACAUGUGCCUAUAUGAGUCAAUACGAUACAAAUCAAUUUCCAAAGGAAUGAAACCAGAAUAUGUGAAAUCGACCAAAACUCGAUUUCUAGUAGAAUUCAAGAGGCACAUUGAACAAAUGAUUCAAACUAUCAAUUGUGCUCCAAUAUACUCAAGAAAGCUAUCAAAAGAAAGGUUUAUGAGUCUAUAUUCUGAUCAAAUAAGUUUUAUCCAAAUCAGAGGUCAAUACGUGAAGUUAUAAUCAUACAAAGGUAGAAAGGUCAGAAUCUCAGGAGUUGCACAGAUUCGAAUCGUUACGUCUAAACAGGAGAUAUAUCAAAUACAAGGUUAGAACAAGUCAAAGUUCCUCAUAUUCAAAGCAAAUGUAGAGGUAAAAUUGCAGUAAGGAAAGAUCAAGACACUUGCAAUAGAAAAGAUUAGAACAAUAACAGGAGAAACGAGCACUAAACCCUGUGCAGGAUCCAAAUAUCGAUAGGUUUUUAAAAACCUAUCGAUAGGUUUAUCGGUGAUUUCCUCAGAUUAGACACUAAGGGGCUUAUGGCCACUUGCAAAAAUCAGAAUUUAGCAUUGUCUAAAUGUGACAAAUCUCACAGAUCACAAUAAAUUGCAGAUCGUUUUGAACUACUACCAAGGGGACAAUUUAAAUUAAGAGUUAGAAAGACAUUUCCUGGUAUAAUUUAUUCCGCUGGGCAUCCAAACAUGCUGCAGAAAGCUCACUAAAUAGAAAGAUAUAGAACUGAAAACGAGUAAAGAGUGUAGCUAAAACAAUUUUGAAGUAAUCCAAACAUUCUGCAGAAAGCUCAUUAAGGAAUGACUCCUUAAUGACAACAAAGGAGUGUAGCCAGAAAAAAACGAACUUUAUUUUUUUUUAGUUGCUACCAAUCAAGUUCAGUAUUUCAUUUGCUACAAUUUGCAAAAUAUGAAAUUUGGAUUCUCUUCAAAAUAAACUUUAAGUAAAAAAAUGGUAUAUUAGAUAUUUCAUUUCUCAAGCUAGAAAUGAUAGCUUUCCUUGACAACCAUAGCAGUAAACAUCUAUGUAUGUAUUUUGUCAAAUUGGUACAAAGAAUUUACCAUGUAUUUGAAGGUUGUCGGCAGUACAAAUGUGUUUGCCGUGGCUGAAAAUGUACUCUUUUAUGGUAGAUCAACAUCCUGAAAAAUGAAUGUGAUGUCACAAUGAUCCCCUUGAGGCAACUCAGGGCUCAAAUCAGUGCUUGGAGCACUACUACCUUCAGUAACAGGCGAAAUGAGUCCCUGCCACCUUUCAUCUUGCCUUUCUUAUGCAACACACCAGCAAAGAACCUUGGUCAUCUCGCUUGGGAGGCCUGCUGAAGUCCGGAAACAGAACCGGAGCAGCUAGUGCUAAAGCUGAUUUGGGUCUUGUUGGCCUCUUCCUCUGCUGCUUGGCAUAGCCUGGAUUAGCAACCCAGCUUGUGCUGUUCGUUAUGGAUGAAGGAAACCACUUGUCUCUUGCCUCUCUUUCCUUGCAUACAAAACUAGCCUAACUUACUUGCUUUUAUACCAAAUACCAAAAAUCAAAUUCAAUAUUAAUAAUCAAGGAUCAUUCUAUAUCAGAUGAGACUUAUGUCUGUCACUCUCGAAUUUUCCCCCUCCUCUACAGAAGUCAUCUUUAUAAAUCCAGCAAAAAUAUUCUUUAUGCAUCAUCUAGUUUUUGUUACUUCACCAUUAUCUGGCAAAUUCUGUGGGGAGACAGGUGAUCACGCUUCCAUCAAUCCAGCUAACUCAUCCAAGAGCUCAUAAAUCUGCUCAACCUCAGGGUGGACUGUAUCGCCCGAAUAGAACUGGUGAACCUUCUUUUCUACCUCAAUCCAACUACACCCUGGCAACUUCUUUCCUCCCAAUUCCUUCAACAUCUUUCUGACCUUCCCUACAUCUUCCCACUUGCCACAUUCACUAUAUAAGUUUGCUAGCAUGACUCCAUAGUCAGCACUAUUAGGUUCAAUCUCAAGCAGCUUCUUUGCUGACAAUUCAGCCAAUUCUCUAAUGCCAUGGAUCCUGCAACCGUUGAGCAAAGAACCCCACACGACUUCAUCAGGCUCGAUUCUCAUGUCCCUCACAAUAUCCAUUGCUUCAUCAAAUCUACCUGCCCGGCUAAGGAGGUCAAUGAUACAGCCAUAAUGCUCGAUCUCGGGAUCAAUUUUAUAGUCCUGAAACAUGGAUCUGAAAUAACUAAGCCCUUCAUCCACCAACCCUCCAUGAGUACAUGCAUUUAGAAGACCCACAAAAGUGACCUCAUCAGGUUCAGGGCCAGUGAGUUCCAUCUUUUUGAAGGUUGCGAUGGCCAGACCACUGUGUCCUUGGAGAGCCAAGCAAUUGAUCAUAGAAUUCCAGGACAUAAGGUUUUUGUCGGUCAAUGCCGAGAAUAUCCAACUUGCCUUCUUCACGCCACCACAUUUUCCAUACAUAUCGAUUAGUCCAUUCGCAACAAAGGGACUAUGUUCCAUGUGGUUCUUGUAGACAUAACCAUGCACCGAUCUCCCAAGCCGGAGCAUACCAAGGUGUCCGCAAGCAGAGAGCACGCAUGACACAGUCGUCUGAUUCGGCCGUGCACCCUCCAGGACCAUCCUACAGAAGAAAGAGACUGCCUCCGAGAAGAGACCAUUCUGGGCGCACCCGGAGAUAACUGCAUUCCACGAUGGAACAUCCCUCUCGGGCAUUUCCCCGAACAAGGCAAUGGCCUUCCCGAUCUGCCCGACCCGCGUGUAUCCAGACAGCAGAGCUGUCCAGGAAACCACAUUCCUCUGAGGCAUUCCAUCGAACAGAGCACGAGCGGCGGCCAUGUCGGAAAACCGAGAGUAAGCAUCGAGAAGCGAGGUUUGCACCACGCCAUACCCAUCGAAUCCGGUCUUGGCGACGCGGGAGUGAACGGACUUAACCAGCCGGAGAUCAGCGCCGUCGGAGCAGGCCUUGAGGACGCAGGGAUAGAUGAACUCGUUGGGGCCGGGUCGGGCUCGGCGGAGCAUGAGGGCGAAGAGGCGGAGGGCGGCGUGGGAGUCGGGGCGGGAGGCGUAGGCGGUGAGCAUGGCGGUGUAGAGGAAGACGUUGGGGGAGGCGAGGCUGUCGAAGAUGAGGCGGGCGUAGGUGAGGUCGGCGAGGGCGAGGGCGGAGAAGCGGACGAGCUUGAAGGCGUAGAGCUGGGUCUGGCCAUGGCCCAGGGCAAGGAGGAAGGCCUGGAGCUGCUUGAGGUGGCUCAGCGUGGUGCAUUUGCCCAGUAGGAAGACGACUCGCUCGUUGAGGGUGACGGUCGGCUGAGGGGUCGAAGCGCACCACAUCGUCACACUUGUGUUUGUUCCUUGAAACCAACCUUUCUAUUCCCUCAAUAAAUCGUUAUAAAUAACCGUCGUAACGGAAUUUUUUCAAACAAUACACGUUGAUAGAGGAUAAAACUAAUCAUUCCAAAGUCUACACGUCAACACCUCCACCUCAGUGGCUAAUAGUGCCAUGUAACCAUACAGGAGGUCGUUAUGCCACUCGAUAGGUAGUUGUUGAGCCACCUCAGUAGGAGGUUUAUGUCAUCUUUGCUGAUGCCAUUUAGUAGACGGUUACGUUCAUAAAUAUCUUAAUAAAUAUUUUAUCUUAUAUUUAUAUAUUUUCUCUAUAUCUCAAAUUGAUUUAGACAAUAAUGAGACUAGGUCGGGCUUAUAUUGAUCUUCAUCUUUUGUAAAAUCUCAAAUGAUACAUCGAAAGAUCGGAAAGCAUUCAGACUCCAUCGAUCGAUUCCUCUCUUUCUUUGAACAUCGAGUCGGAACCUAAUUCGAGUAGGAAAAUAAAUAUGGAUAUAAAAGGGAUUUAAAUACUUGAGUAGCUAUCAGUUAGCGGUUAGUAUGAGACUCAUGAAAGCAUCAACUGUCAUCAUUCUUCUACUGCGGUCUAGGUUAAGUCAUGACAGGAAGUCAACUAGAAUCGACGACUUUAGGAGCAGUCAAAUGGACAGAGAGACGUCGUUGUUCUAAGCGUUGAGAAACGCAUGCAUUGAUGACUUCCGAAGGAGUCAACUUGAAUCAAUGUACAUACACUACAUAUAGUUUUCAGUCCUCUACCAGCCAACGAAUUGCAAUGCGGCAAUUUAUAGAGUGAAUAGUGAACAAGUUGGCCAAACAAUAAAUUAUAUGUGCGUAUAUAAUAUUGCUCAACAACUAGGAUUAAGUUUUAACUCAAAUUUGAUGAUGGAUGAUUGCUACAAAACCCAUUGGAUCGGACAAAAAAAAUAGAUCCUCGAUGAAAUCAUUUAGAUCUAAAAAAGAUUGAAGUAACCUCAAAAUUGUUUUAACUUUUUUUAGAACGUUUAAUUAUUUUUCAUUGUAAAUUUGAAAGACAAGAAAAUCAUAUUAUGUUUGUCACUCUCUCGUUGCGUUUGUUAUUUUAUAAUUCACCCCUAUCAUCCUUCUUAAUUAUUGUUCUCUCAAUUAAUUUCAUUAAUUAACCACGUUUUUAUAUUUAUAAAAUAGUAUAAUUUUAUAUUCUAUUCUUAGUUAAACUUACAAUUUGACAUGUCGACUAUACAAUAAUCUAAUGAUCUAAGACUUGACCUAAGUUGAUAUCUAAUCAUGGUAUAAUAAUAACCAAGUUGUAUGCACAUGAUUUAUAAUUUUGUGACUAAAACUUUGGAAAUGAUCAAUAAAACAUCACAAAAUUAUAUCAAUAUGGCUAAAGGAUAUCGAAAAUUUGAAGAGUAAAAUAAUGGCCCAGUUAUUCAUCCAACAUCGUCGCUCAGAUGUUCAUGUAAAAGAUGUUCAUGUUGUACCGAUAAAUUUAAUUUAAUUCGAUAAGAAAUCUUCAAGAGAGAUAAAAAAAAUAUGAGAUGUUCGAUUAAAAUUGAUUUACGUUGAGAUCGAGAUCGGAUGAAGUUCUUAAUGUGGUCCCUCAAGCACUUAAAUAAAUCGACAAGUUGAUAACGAAAUAAAAUAAAAAUCUUGAUUAUUAUGAUCUAAUGGCUUUUAUAAUUGAUUCAACUAGAAGAAAUAUUCUACCGUAUAAACAGAAUAUCUUUUAAUAUUUUAUGUUAAAUCAAUAUCUAUAUGACUCAAUCGUUGACUAUAUCCGUGACCACCACCACCUCAUGAUCAGAUUGCUACAUCUCUAGUCCUUGGAGAGCACUUAUAGUGACGUUCAACCAUAUACUUCUAAAGUGCCAUUGUCAUAAUCUAAGCCUAAAUAAGAGAACUCGUAUCUUAUCCAUGACUUGGACAAAGUCUGUACUCUUUACGUGCAAUUACAAUUAUUGUUCUGAAUCAUAUAUUUUGGGAACAUUACACUAUUUCCCACAUAAUUUGAGAGAUGACAAGAUUCCCUCGUCUUUGCUUUUAUUUGUUAUCUGAGUUUAAAGAACAAACGCCCACCAAACGACGUGACGUGACGUAAUUAAUCCUUUUCAAUGCCACUUAAAAGCCAAAUGCAAUGAGUUUGACUCUUGCAGACAUUAUUGCAUGCUGUGGAUUUUGCCAAACAGAUGGAUCCAUGUCUGAGAUGCUCUCUCUCUCUCUCUCUCUCUCUCUCUCUCUCUCUAGUCUCAAGUUUCUAUAUAACGCACUACCGUGCACCUUGGAACUUCUCACUCCAAAGAAACCAAGGUCUUCGAAAGCUUAGCUCAAGAGCGACAAUGGCAUGGAGCUGGUCACUGAGCUUCCUCUUCUCUGCUGAGAUACUCUUCUCUGCUGCUUGCCUCCUACUCUUCUCCUCCUACAUAUACCGAAGCCGGAAGAACCAGCUUCCGGUGGACUGGCCCGUCGUCGGCAUGCUUCCUGGUUUAUUAUCCCGCAUCCAUGGUGUCCAUGAAUAUGGAGUAGAAAUCCUCACCGCGUCCAACUGGACCUUCAUGUUCAAAGGCCCAUGGUUCCUGGGCAUGGACAUGUUGGUGACGUGCGAUCCGGCUAACGUGAACCAUGCUUUCGUUGCCAAGUGCUCCAACUAUCCCAAGGGGAAGGAGUUCACGGAGAUCUUCGACAUGUUUGGCAACAGCUUGAUCAACACCGACGGCGAGGAAUGGAAGAUGCAGCGGAGGAUGACGCAUAGCCUGAUGAGCAAUCAGAACUUCCGCUACUACGAGCUCAACACUGUCCGAGACAAGGUGGAGGGGGCGCUCCUCCCUCUUCUGCGUGGCGUGGCCGAGAGAGGUAACGCAGUGGACCUUCAGGACGUGUUCCUGAGGCUAACCUUCGAUGUCUCUUGCUCGUUGAUUCUCGGCGUCGAUCCCGGAUGCCUCGCCGAAGGCUUCCCGGUGGUGCCGUUUGCCAAGGCGUUGGACGACGCCCUGGAGGUGAUAUUUUUCCGGCACACGGUUCCGAUGAGUGUUUGGAAGGCGAUGAGGUGGCUGGGAGUGGGUAAAGAGAGGAAGAUGGCCGUGGCGCAGAAGGUGAUGAACCAUUUCGCGGCGAGUACGAUCGCGAAGAGGAAAGAGAAGAUCAACGGGGAGAGAAGCCACAAGGAUGGCGGACACGAAGAGGGAGAAGCAGCAGGCGACAUGUUGACCGUUUACAUGCAUCAACCCAACGGGAAGAACCGGCUCGAAUUCGACAGGUUCAUCGAGGACAACGCCAUCGACCUACUGCUCGCCGGGAGAGACACCACCGCGGCCGGUCUCACCUGGUUCUUCUGGCUCCUCACCUUGCACCCGGAGGCGGAGCAGAAGAUUCUCGAGGAGCUGAAAGCAAACUGGCCAAGAACAGACCUACACGCCAACGCGCCGUUCGAUCGAGACGGGCUGGGGAAGCUCGUCUACUUGCAUGCAGCCCUGUGCGAAAGCCUGAGGCUGUACCCGCCCGGCGCCAUCCAGCACAAAGGAGUUGCCGAGCCCGACACGCUGCCAAGUGGCGAGAAGGUGCGGCCCGGGACGAAGCUACUGUUUCACCUCUACUCCAUGGCGAGAAUGGAGGGGAUAUGGGGGAAGGACUGCGCGGAGUUCAAGCCCGAGAGAUGGAUCACGGAGACUGGAGAGCUCAGGCACGAGCCGGCGCACAAGUUCUUCGCCUUCAACUGCGGGCCGAGGAUCUGCCUGGGGAAGGACAUGGCUUUCACCAUCAUGAAGACCGUCGCCGUCGCCAUGCUUCGUAGCUUUCGCUUUGAGGUGGUGAAGGGGCAUGUGGUGGAACCCAGGCUCUCCAUAGUCCUUCACAUGAAGAACGGCCUGAUGAUGAAGGUGAGGAAGAGAGAGAGGAGUUGGUGAGGAGAGUGCGUGCAUGGGUAGAUCUUGAUGUUUGUGUUCUGUGUUGGAUAGUUAAGGUGGAGUUGGCAAGUAGAGUAUGGUUUAGUUUGGAGUCCAAGAUAUGUAAUGCUGUGUAAGUUGUUUGGGUCUGGAGUUUCCCUUUCUGCAGGAAUAUUAGCAAUAUAAAGGAGUGGUUGAACCAUCAGCAUAACAUUAUAAACAAGAGUAUUAGAUUUGGAUUGAUGUUCUUCCAAAACCGUUGAGAAAUAAUACAACAGAUAUUAUGAUAUUGAUGUUCCGACUGAUAUCAUAGUAUUCUUGGAGGUGGUGGAACUGGUGACAGUUAAGCGCAAGGGAAAUAAACAGAUACGAGAAGGCUAAUGCGCACAGGUACAGAAACCAAAUCAACAAAUAUCAUGAACAAAGUGCCAAAAUUUUCACCAAACAAACCUCAAAUCAAAAUUUUCUGACUAGACUUGGCGAUCAAUGCCAAAAGUUGCACGGUACAACUUCCGUUAAGACUUUGAUCUCUGAGCUCCAAACUGAAAGUGCAGAUCGAACUCCAUGAUGCUACUGAGACACCUUGUUUUUAUUAGUGUUUAAUGUCCAUCUCAUUUCCUCCGUGAAUACUUAAUCUGAAGCCGUUUGCUUCAAGGAUGAAUUCAAAUAUGAAAUGUGGCAAAGUAAACAGUACAUGUAAUCUUUAGGGCAAGAUAUUAAUUGAUCAAGUACUCGCCAAUAAGAUACGCUAGUUGAUACCCUCUCUCGCCUUUUUUCUAUCUUUUCUCUGUUUCUCACGCUGACCUGGUGCAUAAGAAGCAGAUCUUAUAAUCAAACAAAUAGUGCACCAAUAAAAGCUAGAAGCUAGAGCAAGAGAGAGUGUAACGUACGCCUUUUUUCAUCCCUCUUUUUACGCUUCCAGGUUUCAGCCUGCCUUCGCGUUUCUCUCUUUUUGUCUACAUUAACACAAACCUGGCGAGAGUGUUAAAAAUGGCAGGUUGUUAAAAAGAAUGAGAAUAAAGCACCAAGGAAAGAUUGUUGCAACAGAUCUCCCAACCCAUGAUGAGUUGGGCAACUUGAAAGCUCUCUAUCAAAUUCUCAAGAACUAUAAUAAAUAUAUCAAAUAAAUCAUCAGGAAAUUCAGCAAUGAUGAACUAAGUAGUCAAGGUGACUAUUACUAGUUCAACAAAGCACAAGUUCUCUCUUGUGAAAACAUUCUUGAAUGCGUACCAACAAAAAGCAAAUGAUGAGGAGAAAUAUUGUCCUUUUUAAUGUUAAAACAAUUCAGUUGAUUUGUCGUUAACCAUGACCUCAACUGACAGCAAUAACUAAAAAACUAUUACCUCAUAUAAAUCAGAAACAAAGAAACAAUACAGAAGGAUGGAGAUGCAAAUAAUAGUUCUAGAGAAACCAAAGCUACUGCAGUCCAAGACAUCUUCAACAGAAAAGCCAGAAUUUUUGUGAUCCGACACUUUUUAAACAGACCAAAUAUGAUAGGUUCAUAUGAAGCAUUCACUCGGUUUGCACGAUUACUAACACAAAGCAAAAUAGGCCACAGACAGAAAGUUGAUAAUUGGAGUAGAAAUUUGGUAACUUCAUGUUCUGAGAUUCAUCUAGAUUCUAAAAAACUAUCCAAAUUCCUUUAACUAGCCUGACAUGGAUCCACGAAAAUCACAUACAUUAAUGAUAUGAUCAGCAUCAAAGAAUUUCAGUGAAGUAUAGUGAAGUGGUGCGUGAAAUGUUCUCACAUCAAAAUUCCAGUAAAUAUUAAAUAUCAAGCUGCAUCAAUGAUGCAGAUAAUUUGCAUUGCAAAUGAGUAGGCACUAAAAAAGUCACUUCAGAAAAGAGUUACAACAAUGUCAGAAAAGGUGUUCAAGUAAAAAAAUAAAAAAACAAAAACCAGUUUAUAAUUUACAUCACCAUACCUCAUGACCAGAACUGCGAAGAGCCUGAAGUGGUUCAACAAAAUCCUGACCAAUAACCACAAAACCAGCCCUCUUACUAGAGUUGUUAGCAUCAACAGUGUUCAUCUUCGAUAACUGUUCAAGUUGCUGCUGAACGAGAGGAGAAACACCGGCCUGAUGAAAUCCAAAUACAAUAACUAUGAAGCACACUGGUUGAAUAAGAGAUUAGGAAUCCAAGAUUUCUACUGAUAAAAACCACAAAUGCUACUAGAAAAGAUGAUCUCCAUGAUGACGACAAAAGUUAACAUGCUUUUAUUCGGCACAUAUUAAAUUUAAUAAUUCCGAAAACAAAAACAUACUUCACUAAAACAUCUAGAAUUUUUGCAAACAUCUAAAAUAUUGGAUAUUUAUAUUAUAUAUAUAUAAACACUGUACAGAUGCAUAAACCCUCACAAAUUGCAUUUUCUAAAGUGCAAUAAGAUGAAUUUAGAUUUAGGAAUUCCAAUGCUGUUAAUAUCCAUUCAAUUUUGCAUCUAACUUGCUCCAAAGGGACUGCAAGCAGAACCACACAGUACAUAACAUUAUGCAGGGACUGUAUCACACUCCAUAAAACUUUUAGCACAAUUAGAAAAAUUCAAUAAUGCAAUUCAAUACAUUGAAAAGAAGAUGGCAAUAAUUCGCAUCACACCUAAGUAGCAUUUUGCAAAUAAUCCAAAAAAGGAAAUCAUUGACCCCAGAUAGUCUGCAACUGACUAAAGAUCAUGAAACAACCACAAAAAUACAGAAUACAUAUUUUAGUAUGGAACAUGAAAUUUAAGAAGACCAAAUUUUACUUUAAAAAAUUUCCAUACUACUUCCAUGACAUUUUGCAGGGAUGACAAGAGAGUCCAAGUAAAACUGUCAAAGUUGAAAAGCUGAACAUCAAAUAUCAGUAAAUUCAUCUAGCACAAAAAAGCACCCAUGCAUGCCCAUCUCUACUUUAGUGUUCCACUUGGACAAUAAUGAUAAAACAGUUGAUCCCAUCUAUACAACAGCUAACCUGGAACAAGGUACAAACUGCCCAGAGCCAAUAGACUUUACUGCAAUUACAAGAUAAACACUCUAAAAGCUCUGUCUAGUUGGGCUAUAAGCUUAUAACUUACCCUUUUGUGAUGCCAUAAAGAUGAAAUUACCCCACACAUCAUAUGAUAUAUAUAAUUCCUUUAGGGGAAUUUAAGGAGGAAAGGAAUCCAAGCUGAGAAUGAUGCAAGCCACUGUGACAAGCCUCCAGGUCACUAGAGCUUACUAGGUGUAAUGCAUGCUCUCUAUGUAGAGAUGUCUUACACAGAAAUACAGUAUCAACUGCCAAGAAAUCCAUUAUUGGUUCUACAAAAAUGCUCCAGCCUUCUUCUGAAGGUUUAAGCCUUAGUACAAGGGUAAAACAUCUUCCUAAGCAAUGAGAGUUCGAAUAAUAGAGGCAACCUCUUUGGCUGCAUAGGUUGCCUUUUGUGCUCAAUCGUCUUAGAAAUGAUGUGACACAUCAUCAACAGGUCAGAGCCACAAAUCAGCUACACUUUGGAGCAUUUGAUGUACUCAGUGACAAUGUGCAUUAAAUGCAUGAACUUGAGCCAAGUUGACCAGAGGUUAUGCACAAGGCAAAUAGCAGCCAAGAUGAACAAGUUCAGCAUCAUUAGCUCACAAUCAUUUAAAAACAAGUCCAAUACGCAGUAGCAAAGUUGGUAAAUGGUGUUGCUAUUUUAAUAACAGAAAAAUAUGACACCAUACCAGUGACUAGCUCAACCACAAACUCUGCUCACAUAGCUUGUAGUCAUACUCCAUCGAAAGCUUCGUUACUUCAUUGAAAGUUUAAUGCCAUAUUCCACUUGAUCAAAUAAUUUAUUAGGUUAGUCAAGGAAGUCAUACUUUUUAGCUGAGUCAAGUUAUUUAAGCUGUUGCUUGAAAAACUUAGUAUAUAAGGUUUGGUAGCCAUUCGUAACAAAAAUAUUCAAAAAACACCAUAUGAUAGAAAUCUAGAACUAGUAGUCCAAGGAAAAUUCAGGAUGCAAUGAAUUCUUACACAAAUAAUGUAUUUACAAACAAAUAUAUCCAAGAAAACAAAUAGGAAACUUACACCAGCCAGAAAGCGACGUGAGAAUGUUUUUGGUUGGAAUGGUUGUUUUAAGUGGUCAUUCAACUCCUGCACACACACGCACACAACCCAAAAGAUGAAAAUUCAGCAUAACUUUUCAGAUGAAGAUGGCAAAAAUAAACAACAAUUAAGUUCAAAUAGCUAUAGACACAUGUUUGUUGUUUAAACAUGCAACCAAAAUUAUUAUCGCCAAAUAACAGAAACUAUUAGAAAAUACCUGCUGCAGCUUCUUUAAUUGAAGGGAACUAAUUUUCUUCUGCUUAUAUCCAUUUACUACAUCUUCUUCACUGGCACUCUCCACCACUUCCAAGCCCAAAGACUCAGCAUUUCGCAUUAACCAACUCUUAUUGACAUUUUCCUGAAUAUGAAGCCAAAAGAUGAUGAAACCCAAAGACAACUCAAACAUCAAUGCUAAACAUUACAUGAAUUUGUUUCAUCAUUCCAAAACUAAUGACAAAAUAAAAAGAUUCAUGAGAUGGGUUAAAAUUUAAUUCCAAUACCAUAGACGAACCCUGCAAACCUAUACAUGCAUAAAAGACUAAAAGAUCAAAAAUUAUUCGAAGUUUGGAUAUAUUGUGAUACAGGCAUAUAGUAAUCAGUCAGACUGGUACAGUACGCUUGAUAUCCAUAGCACGAGGUUAAGGAUAGAUUGCAGCUCAAUGAAAUUCAAUCAGAAAAAUCAUCUAUCAUGUCAUCAAUCAGGUAGAAGAUCCAGGCAAUCGACAGACAUAACAAUAACAAUAACAUUAAUUUCCCAACUAGCUGGGUCAGCUAGUUGGAUCCUUUUUGCUACCAAGCUAUACACAAACAGUAUGCUCAGUUAAAACAAGAACAUUUAGAUUUUUAUAUAUAGUUUCUAUGAAAGACUUAGUCUCCCUCUCUCUCAUUCUACAUAAGUAAUAUUAAUUAUGUCAUCUAAUUACAACAUGUAUAUGUCUCCUUCAAACAUACAUAUAUCAUCUUAAAUGAUACUUCCUUAUUUUAUUCUCAAUCGAAGUUAUGCCUAAAUGCUCACAAAUAAAAGUAUUUUUCCAUUCCUAGCAACCCACGCAUCUGCCUCAAUAAUUCCACCUCAGUGAUAAGCCUUUUGUAUAUUUACGUUCCUAACAACCAAGACUCAAAUCCAUAAAGUGACUUACCUAGUAACUGUUUUAUAAUUUUUUAAAAAAAUUAAAGAACAUCAGAUGGUCAUACAAAACUCGAUGCCUUUCUCCAUUGUAACCAUCUAACUUUUAUAAUGUGAAUAACAUCAUCAUCAAUUCCCAUUGUUCAAUAAUCGAUCCAAGAUACCCAGAAUAUUUACCUACUAAAAUUAUUUGGCAAUUAAUCUUAAAUACAUUAUCAAUUCUUCUGUUAGCAUUAUUGAAAUUAUAUCUAAUACAUACUGUUUUAUAUGCUUAAUUUAAAACCUUCAUUUCUAAGAUUUAUAUCCAUAACUCAUGUUUAGAAUUCAUUCCAUCGGAACCAUCAUCAAUUGAAACAAUAUCAUCAAUAAAUUGCAAGCACCAAGGGGGUUUAUCCGGUAUAUGAAAAUCCAUCCAUUACCAAUGUGAACAGAACACAUAACAUUUGUCUAGUGGUGGUGUAUGAUACCUACUUACUAAGGGUUUGAGACUUUAUUCGAUAAUUAAAAAAAAAAUUUAACUACGCAGCUAGUAGAUUUUCAUGGUUGAUAGCGAGGUCUUAGGUUCAAAUCCGUUCUUCACCGUUUACCCUUUAACAAAAAAAAAGUGAAAACUUAAAAGUUGAUCCUUGAAGUAAUCAUAUACUAUCAGGUAUGCAUAUUCCCUAAAAUUCUAAUAAUAAUGAGUAUACUAUCAUACAUAUCAUUUAUAUCAUUGAUCUAAUUAGUGGCUACAUCUUUCUUUUCUAUAAUCCACUAUAAUAAAUCACUAACUAAUCUAUAAUAGACUUUUUCUAAGUCAAUAAAAACUAUAUGCAAUCAUCUCGAUAUAAAACCAAAAUGAUUCUCAAAAGUACUCAUUCCACAUAUUAUUCCACCUUCAAUCACUUUCCCAAUGUUUUCUAGUAUGAUUAAUUAUCUUUAUCAUAUAUAAUUAGAACAGCUUUAGACAUCUUCCUUAUCCUUAUAAAUUGAUACUAGAAAACUCUUCUUCCAUUCAUGGGACAUCUUUCUAAUUCUCAAAAUUUUAUUAAUCAAAUUAAUUAACCAAAUUAUUCAUCAAUCUCUUGAACUUUUCCAAACUUCAACAGGAAUACUAUCAAAUCCCGCUCUCUUAUCUGUUUAAAUUCUUCUUUUACUUUAUGUACUCUAGUUUAUAUUCUUUAAUAUUUCACUAUUGUCCAUCUAAAAAUAAGUUACCAAUAGAAUGCCCAUUAAAUAAAUAGUUUACAAAGUUAAUUUCUUAAUCAUUCCACAAGUAUCUUUUGAUCUUCAACCUUUGUGUACCUAAAUCCAUACUAUUUCUUUUUUUAGCUUUAGCAAUUCAAACAUAUCCUUCCCCCAUCCCAAUCCGAAAAAUUAUUUAAUUAUUAUAAAAAGUAUCUUUUAAAAUUUUCCUCACUGCAAUUUGUCAAUUUUUAGAACAAGAUCUUUUGGUAGUAAUGCUCAUUUAACAUCAACAAACACUAGUAGGUAAAAGAUAAUAAAUGCAUAUCAAUUAACAAUAUUUUGUAUUGGACUUAGCAAAGCUUUUACAAACAGCUAAUGUCUGAUCACCCCAUUAUUAAACCUCACUGAUUUUGAUAACUGACCAACCUUUUUGCAUCAUAUCUUCCUCUAUGCAGUUGUUAACCAACGGAUGAUAAUUUGACUAGAAGAGAUGCCAUAUUCAGUGCAUAAGUUCUCUUUUCUUUAAAUUUCAAAUACAAAGCAGUAAAUCAUAGUUCUGAAUUGAGCAACUAUCAUAUCCAAAUCAAUUAAAAUAAGACUGAAAUGCAUGGACUAACCAUAAUUAAAAGUUUGGUACCCACCCAUGUUGGUUGCUAACUGGACCCCACUGAUACAGAUCUGGUAAAUAUUGGCAUGCCGAACACAUUCAACAAUGGCAAUGCUGACCCGCAACUCACGGUACGUUGGCAUACCAAUUAGCACUGAAGAGGGUGGGAGGAGGAGGAAGAGGAAGAAAAGGUCAAAGUGCAGGAUCAGGAGAGGACUAGACGGAGGAGAAGAAGAGGUAAAGGUGAGGUGCAGAGGACAGGACUAGGUGGAGGAAGAGGAAGCAAAGGAGGAUAACAGGUCCCACGGCAGGCCAACAGUGACGGACAGCGAGAGGCACGAGGCACAGGGCUCAAGACUCCUUCAACUAGGCCUCAAACAUCUGUAGGGUUAAUACAGGUUGUAGGCAAAGAUAAACUAAUGAAAACCCUGAUCUGGACUUGAACCACCCAACAUGAGCUAGCCCAUAUCCUGGUUCUCCAUCGGACCGGUAUUUACAACCCGGUUCAUACCAGUACGGACAAUUUCACAAACCAUGGAGCUCACAAAUAGCAAGAAACUAAAAGAUAUGAAAUAGAUCAACUAUGCAUAUUAGAACCAAUACAUAAAAAAGGAAGUCUCAUGUGACAAUUAACCAAAAGAGUGUAAAAUCAUAUUCUUUUAAAGUAGAGUAGAUCUACAAAAAAAUAAAAGAAAUGACAAUAGAACUUGUUCAGAUCUUUUAGUAGAUAGAAUAAUUUAUUAUUUACAACUAAACUUUUCUCCAGUAGUACAUUAUGGUUUUGUUGCCAAGUAGCCCAAAGUUAUAUCCUAGCUUUAAGAACCUUAUAAAAAUUUCCUAAAGACCACACAAAUAAGCAUAUAUAAGUUUUGGUACCUGGGAAUUUUUCCGCAGAAUCUUGUCAAUUUGACGGGCAAGAGAUAACCGCUUCAAUAUUUCAGGCAUAUAAGAAUCAUCUACAGGAAAUUGUCGAAGGCUUUCCUGGAAACAGACAAAAAGUGAUUAAGUUCUUUGAGAUUAAGUUACUGAUGCAAUCAGACAGAACGAAAACAAAGUAUCAUAAACAAGCAUAAAUAUUCUACCGUAUAUUGUAAGUUGCUACAAUAAAUAGUGAAUUACAUAUAAAACUAGUCCCCGAGCUAUCCACAAAUGUCUUGACUCUAGUUACUGGGCUCAACUAUUAGUCAAUUUACAGUACAGAGUACGUGAUCUUGUACCCUAAAUGAGGGUUGUUACGACUAAAUUUCCUGCAAAUGAGGGCAAUUGCUAAAAUUAGGCAUAAGCUUGAGAGACCACAUAAUGGCAUCUUCAAGUUGAAAUUGGAUCUGGCGCUCUAAAUUACCAGGGUAUGAAAAUUUGAGAACCUCAAUUUGACGAUUAUAGCAUUAGUACUUUCACAAUGUUAUAAAAUUAUUACCCGCAUUAACUAGAUCGUGAUGCACUUAUAAGAUAAGUAUUAUGGUUUGCUCUAUCCCUCUAAAAGCAGAACUAGGACACAGCAAGCUGCAACUUAAAAAUACAUGUAUCACAUAGAAACUAAAGAUAUCACCUUAGACAAUGACUUGCACAAGGCAAAAAAUUUAGUUUUAUCACUAGGUGAUAUCAAUGCAAUACAGCAGCCAUCUGCAGAAGCACGUGCUGUUCUUCCACUUCUGUGAAUAUAAACCUAAAACAAUAACAAUAACAAGCUCAAGUUAGUAAUGUUAUAAUUAUGUUUAACAAGGAACAUAACCUAGUACAUACCUCUGCAGAAUGUGGCAAUUGAAAAUGAACAACAGUUCGGAUGCCAGGAAUAUCAAGGCCUCGUGCAGCAACAUCAGUAGCAAUUAAAACACUAUGCUCAUUUCCACGAAAACGAUCAAUUGCCUGAUUAAGCAGCAGUGUACAUAUAAUAUGAUCAGAUAAUAAUCGAUACUAAGUGAAUACAUCAUGAACAGUAAAACCAACAUUUGCAUAUUCCAUCAGCAAAUCAGAGUUCCAUCUUUAAAACCAAGAAUCUGGACUGUCAUCUUAAUACAGGUUCCACACAUUAUUCGUCCCAACCCUAUGAACAUGGCAAGCUAAAAUAAUAUUUAGCUAUAAUGGCAGGCCUACAAAACCCAACAAGUAUAUUCCAAAUAUAGGAGCACUUUUGACAAGGACUGUAAGUCAAUUUCGACUGUUAUGCAAACUAGUGAGGUAUCUAACUAUAAUAGACAAGCAAAUCAUAUAUUCCAUUCUUAAAGUAGUUACUAGUUAGUACCUUCAAACGGGCUCUUUGUUGCAUUUGAGCAUGAAGGGUCAAAGCAUUGAUGCCAAGAAUCCGCAAUAUGGAAGAAAUGCGUCGUACAGCUGCAAUCGAUGUACAGAAAAUAAUAGUGCGACCUUGGCCAUGAACACUUAAUAUAUAAUAUAGAUAGGCCUCUUUAACUUCUUCUUCGCAUCUGCAAGUUCCAGAAUGCUUUCAACACUCGGUAAUUUGUAUUAAUUCAUCAUCAAAUUUACAUGAGUAACCAAACAAUAACUAAGCAUCUCAAGUAAGAAAAUUUGAGCCUAGAAUUUUGGGAUUCAUGACGAGGAACAUGUCGAAAUGUUCUUUUAUGAUGUUCGACAUAUAUAGAAAACAUAAUGACAUAAAAUUCAAUCUCAUCAUAGAUGAGAUAAGAAGAAUUGGUCAACUGUAUACAGAGACCCAAAUAUUGAUUUCUACAAAUGAAACACAGAAAUCCACACACUCAAUAAUUGAGCUAACUAAACAUAACUUACUAUGUUUAUGAUAGAAAGGGAGACAAAAGAAAUUGUAAUGCGCCAAAUGAAACAUGUAUCUGUUAUGUGGCAGUCAGGCCAUUGUAAGUGGUGAUUUUUCAAGUUACAGCUACUCUCUGUAAAAUUAUCUUAAAGCAAUAUCAUGGUCUCUGUUCGGUUUAUAAUAAGGUCAAAUUGGAAUUUCUUAUUCUGGAGUUGUGAUUACAAUGAUUGCCACAAAACAUUCAUGACAUGCUUCUUCGAACUUGUUAACAAACUGAAACUUAAAAAUAUAAGAUGUCUCUCGGUGCUGAUAGAAAGUCGAAAUUCACAGACCCUAUUAGGAAAUGUCAAUGAAGCACCAAAUUUUCCAAAUUGCAUCAUAUUAUUUAUAUUGUCCUCCAUACCUAUUUUGCACUAUAACUGAUGGUUGAUGGUAGCAAAUACAUAAACGCAAUUUUCUUUUGAUGAAUAAAUUCUAAGAACCAUUGAAACUAACUCAGUUUCAUGUCUGGAAGAUCAAUCACAGAAACUAUUUAUUUAUUGAGGUAAUUAAAAAAAUAUUUAAAAAAGAAAGAUUUGGAUAUGGUUUCUAUUAUUUUUGAAAAAAAAAAAAACAUAUGCUAAAGUUCAUGGAGAAAGAGACCAAGAAUCAGAUCGCCCUAUUUUGGGCAAUCCAAGGUAGAAACAGGGGUAACGCCCAAAAACCACCAAUACUAACAUUCGUCUAUCAAAUUGCUUCUCAUGCCAAAAGAAAAAAAAAAUUAUUAAUCCUCUUAACCACUACAUUUUUUUUACUUCAAAAAGCAUUUCUCUUUAAUCCAUUUUGGUGAUUGACCUCUCUAUUAAGAACCUCUUUAUGCUCAUAUAAAAGGAUCUCUGUCUUCAGUGUAUGGAGCAAAUAGACCUGCAUUUAAAUGUUAAAAGUUUCUACCCAGAUGCACCUGUUAAGUGCCAUCUGCUAAGAGCAAAUAAGAAAGGACAAAUGCAGCUAAAUUCAAAUUGUUGAAAUUUCCUGACAGGUAAAUAUAAUGUAUGUCCCAUUAUUGUUUUAACUUCAAAAUACCAGUACCAUGCUGAAAAUUUGUUUGGCCAGGACAAUAUGGUACACCAUCGUAACAAUACCAAAAUAACAAAAAUUAGUCGCAUGUGUUGGCACUAACAUCCCGGAUGAUCCAUCAGUGUUUUGGUACGGUAUCAAAAGCCAGUAUGAUAUUGAUGAUAUACUGAGGUAUUUAAAACCACAUCUCCAACACCAACAAGUUUUUAGCAUUCAUAAAAGGUUUUUGAUAAUAGACAAUAACCGAAGCAAGUUUGAAAGGAAAUAAAUUCUCUCAGCUAGAAAUGACCUACAUCCAUCUGCACAGCAUACAUAAUAUUUGAACUUCACGAGACAACUAUGGUCAUGGAAGGUAUUUUUGGUUGCUCAAUAAAUAAAUAUAGACAAAACUACAAAAACAUAACUCAAAAUGUCUAAUAUAUGAGUUCCAAUAUGACCAAAUCACAUGAGAUUGGAAAAAGAUAAGAGGGAAUGAUUGCAGAAUUUAACACCCAUUAAAAAAUCUAAAUAAAUCAGGAUACGGGACAACGAGAAUACUCGAGGAAUGAUUCUUCAAGUUUAUGAGCCAAAAUUGCAGCAUUUGUCAAAUCGACUAUUGCAACGUCAGGUCUUAUUCCAGCUCUCUCUGAAAGUGUUUCUAUAGAACUUAGCCCAUCUGACACUGAUGGUCUUGAACUAGACAAUCCUCUCUUGAGUUUUCUGCGAAAAUUAUCAGAUAAGGUUAUUGUGGCAGAGAACACAAAUGUCUGUCUUUUCUUUCGCUGUAAAGUUGGAAUGGUUUUGCAUAUUGCAGUAGGUUUUGAAUUUUGCUCCAUGGAUCCAUUUGUCAUUGGUAACAUGUCAAUGAUAGAUUGCAACUCAUGAAAAUGGCCACUCUCUAUCAUCCUAUCAGCCUCAUCAAGCACGAAAAAGGACAAUGAGUGCAGCUGUAAAAUGGCACACUAGUGUCAGCAAAAGCAGUGAAAAUUACAGAAGCUACUAGCAGAGAAUAAAAGUCCAUGUUUGAUUCUAUCUGAAGGAUAAUUAAUUUGCAUAAAGGACAGUCACCCGUUUGAGUGAAAGGAUAAGUUAUGAGUUCCACUAUCCAGCUUUUUAAUACUACUUCAUGUGCUCCAACAACAGUAGAAAUAUACCUGCUGCUCAGUUCUUAUGAUGGACAAGAAAGUAGUUUAGUGAUCACAACAACAGUUGUGUUGUCAAAAGAAUAUUUUGAAAAAAAUAUAUAACAAUAAUUUUCGGUGGGACCAAAAUUCUGAAAAUUUAACAUCAGCUUUUGGUUGAAAUGUCUGUCAAUACUAUCAUUACUACAACUUAGCACACAAUAAGACGCACAAUCAAUCAAGCAGCCGUUUUGAAGUUUUCUAGCUGUUAAUGAGCUACAUGUAGAAGUAGAACAUCAAAAGUUUGCUAUGCAGAGACAAAAGCAAUCUUCUACAAAUAUAAAUAACAUUUUCCUUGCAAACAGUCAAUUAGUCGGCCUAAUCAGUGAACCUGAUGUGUUUUAACAAAAUAUUUUCUUUCUCCUUCCAUGUUAGGUUAUCAUCACGUUGUUUUGUCUCCACACAAGCUGGUGUCCUCACCAAUAUAAUCAUACAAUGAUAGAAAGAAGUUUACUAUCCACCACCAACUAAAGAAUUUUCCAGCUAUGAGAUCACAAUCUCUCAAUGAACUGCUUAAAUUGAGAUUUACUAAAUCAGUUAUCUAAAUGGAAGGAUCCCCUUAACAAUAUGUGAACUUGUCACCUCCAUAUUUUAUUUAGAAGAAUCAUUAGGUCAAUUUCCAUCAUUACAUAGUGUCAAGUAUAUUUAUAUCAGCCAUAAACUAUGGCAAACUAUGUAUGUGCUAGACAAAUACAUCUCAAUAAAGCAAUGUUCCCACUAUAUGCAGAUAUCCUCGGUUUAUUUCUGGAUACCACCAUUUCAUUAUUGUAUUUAGUAUUUACCAUCUUUUUAGUAUUGUGUUUAAGAUAAUAUGAACACAUGCUAAGGAAACCAAUAGAUGAGAGGUGAAAUUAUUACAAUGGAGAGACAAAGAGGUAGGGGAAGACUUAAGAAGACCAUAAUAGUAUAUAGAUAAAGAUUUAAAUGACUCUUUAUAGAUAAGGCAAAAGAUCCAUGUAACCAUUAACCGAUUCCAAAUAGUUAUGACGUUACGGCUUUGUUGUUGUAUCAUUUUAGUACUGUCACAAAGACAUAACACUUCCAAAAGUAAAUUUAAAGCUUAGAAAUUAAAGCAUACCAUAUCAUCCAAAAAAAAUUAAAAGACGAAGCCAAAGAUCCAUGCAAUCUACUCAAGUAUGUAUAAGUUACAUAUCUAGACAUAAUAUCUAAUUUUUAAAUUUACUAAUUGCUUUUAUAUUAUUUGAAAUAAAAGAAAGGUUGUAAGAAUCCAUGGCUAAAGCACAGCCAAAAAAUGAUUUUGCUAAAAAAUGAAUAAGUUUUCCUCAUUAUAUGAUUCCUACAUCUCAACUCCUGAGCACAUAAUAAAUAAAUUGAGGUCCCUUAAAAUUCUUGCAAUCAAGGGGAAUACAACAUGGAAAAAUCCACAAAACAAAAGAUGCAUCAAUUUAAUGUUAUUUUGGACUAUGUUUAACACUUUCCUAAGCAUGACCAACCACAACUCCCAAAACUAAGUGCAGUAAACAGUGUUGUUACCCUUCGUCAUCUUCCCCCAUACAAAAAAUCAUAAUAUAAAAUCAAUUAAUUAAUAAGAUUGCUUGGAGAAUCAGAAUUGAUGAAAUAGUGACAAAAAAUGACCUUUGCUAAAGCAUCAGUGAUACUAACCUCCACGAGGUGUUGCUCUCCAGCUGACAUAAGCUCCCAUAAGCGUCCUGGAGUUCCAACAACAAUCUCUGGCCUCCUUUUUAGAAGCCUUUCCUGUUUUUCUGUGGACAUUCCACCAACAAUAGGGACUACUUGAAUAUCAAGAAAUUUUGCUCCUCCCUUCAGAUGAUCAGAAACCUAAAACAACCACCACCAAGCAACUGACGCUGAAAUAAAUAUAUAACAGAUUCCAGUGACCUAUCUAUUUUCUAAACAUGCUUAAAACAAACACAAGUAAACUGUAGCUGAUUAUAAUAUUGUAGACAAGAAAGAAAUCAAUAAGGAAUGGAGAACAUAGAAACAUAUAGAUGUCAAUCUUGUUGUUAUGAACUGAAACAAAAAUGAAGUGUUCCAAGUAAUAAUAUUUGCCUCAAUCAAGUCACAAAUAAUAAAAAUUAAAUAAACUAACACGGAGACUUCCAUAGGCAAACAAUCUUAAGUUCAUAAUUAUAAAUGAGAUCUUAAACCUUUGAACCAACAACUUCCACAGAUGAAAAUUGACCAAAUAAAUGACCCAACCAAAAUUAAACUAAUAACUGAUUCUUAAUUGAACCUCCCAAUUCCAACAAAAUGCACAACCUUUUUUUAUAAGCUUCUUACUGUGAUCAAGGAGGCAGUACCACACUGUGCAUAAUGAUCACAAUCUAGAAAACAAGCGCAAUCAUUAUACAAGAAAGUUGCCUAACAUGGGAAGGAAAUGGACCAUGCAUGAAAGAAAUUAAGUUUCAGAUAUAUCAACAGUGCAAAAUAGUUUGACAACUCAAACAUGAUUGUACCUACUCUUGUUAUUUGCCUUCCAAAGACUCCAAAAAAGUAAAACAAAACAAUCAAUUUAUCUAGUACUAAUUAAGUUAUUCCCCUUGCUCCCUAGAACUUAGAAACAUAAACAAGGGAAUUGGAUUCAGAAGCAAGUCUUAAACCUUCUGGUAGCCAUCUGAACAAACUCAUCAAUUUGAUGUAGACAAACAUAAUCUCAAAUUUAAUUCUCAAAUAAAUUAAAUUCAAAUACUCUGAUAGAAUAUACCACUCCUGUCAAGGUUUUCUGCAAUUAAGAAGGCCUCUAACACAGUCAAUGAGAAAGCUAAACUUCUAAAUUAACUAAUUUUAUUGCAUAAAAGAACCUUAAUUCAAGCAUGAACAUUAAGGACUUAUAAGAAUCGACAAGAGCACGAAGCUCCAACCAAUCUGGGGUUUAGGGAGGAUCUCAACAUAUGUAGUCCUACCCAUGUCCGGAGCCAAUGCAAGGUCUGGAAAUAUGGCCAACAGAUGAAGCCUUACCUUACAAAUAGAAAUUGUUUCCAUGACUUGAACCCUAGUCAACCAACUUGCAAAGAUGAAAGAAGCAACCUUAUUGUUAUGCUAAGGCAUGUCCUCACACUAAUGCCCAUGACUUCUAACUCGAAUAACACUAUAAACUAGUGAAGAACAAUACUUUAUUUGUAUAUAAAGUACACUAGAAAAUAUCAUCAAAAUUCUCCCACAACUAGAUUGUGAAUGUUGUCACCAAUGUUUCUUGAAUUUGCAUUAUUGGUCAGUCAUAAGUGUUCCAAAACAUGGCUAGAUUUGUCCAUAUAAUCUAGAGAACUAGGCACAUGGUUGGAAUCCAACGUCAUCCAAGUCUUAUAGUAGCAUCCUUAUCUAUAAAUUGCUAACAAAUUCUAUAUCAUGUUUAAGAAAUGUAAUCACUAAUCCAUUAUCCAAUAUAAAAGUUAGUCUCCGAACUUUCGCCUCAAUGCUAUCUCCUCUCCAAAAUGCUGGCAGAAAAAAAAAAGAUACAAGGAAAAAGGAACACAACGACAAACACAACCACAUUUUCCUAAAACGUUAAAUUCAAAAUAAACUAAAAAUGUAAAUUCAAUCGUAUCAAAUUGUUUAAUUUUAUUUUUCUUUUCAAAAAAGAUAGUUAAUUCCUGUGCAAGCUAUUAUGAUGUAGGUAAUAGGUAAACUAAAACACUUUUGGAAAUAAACAUGGGCACCUGUAAUGCAAGUUCCCUUGUAGGAGUGAUAAUUAGUGCUCGAAGAGGACCUCCACUGAAAACUUUCUCAUCUGAAUUUCUAUUUUCAUGGAUCAAUCUACCUUCUUUCUCUCUUUCUUCGAGGAGGCGCUGCAAAAUAGGUAGUGCGAAGGCAAGUGUUUUCCCGGAACCUGUCUCUGCUGCACCUAUGACAUCCUAUUUCACAAUAAAAGUAGGAGAAAUUGAUCGAUUAGGUCUCAUAAAACAUUAUAACUCGUGAAAAGGUAAAUGUUACUACCUACAAUAGAAAAAUGUUACCUAGGUCAAUUUCCUCUUAGCCUUGAUCUGUUUGGCCUAUGUCAUCAAUUAUCAACUACUAACUAACUAAUGAUUGAUUAUCGAAACAGGAAAACACAAAGUUACCACACAAAAGGUAUAGUUAAUCUGUCAGUUGAAUGUGUGACAAAACUAAUUCUAAAGAAUCCAACCUUUCCUUGAUGGGCAGCAGCAGGAAUACAGGCUUUUUGUAUUGGGGUGGGUUCCUUGAAACCAAGCUGACGAAUUGACUUGACAAGAAGGGGAUGAAGCCUCAACUCUUUCCAUGCAUAAACUUCAUCCUCAUCCAGAAUCAAAUUUUCAUUACCAUCAUCACCAACAAAGUUAUUGUGAUGCUUAUCUGUCAGAGCAAAAACUUAAUCAUUGGGAUCCAUAUUUCUGAAGAGACAGAGGCAGAGGUUUGGCAGAACUCUAUCCACAAAACAGUUGAUUUUAUAAUUUUGGUAAAAAUGAUACAUCAGAUAUUGUGACCAAGAAUCAAAAUAGCAGAAACAAGUCAAUGCUACGAAUGAGAAAACGUUAUAUGUUCUUAUCCUGGGUGUCAUAAACCCUAAACCACUCAACAGAAUCUGAAUUCAUAAAGAUAAGAUUGCAAAGAAGAUAAAUAAUUGUUAAAAAUAAGUGUUAAAAUAAACAAUUUUAGCGAACAAAAUAAUAAAAUUAUGCAUUUUUAAUACUAAAUUCAUGUUAACUCUUAUAGGAAAAAAGGAAGAGGUUUAACUAGACGUACUUUUGUCUCUUCCCUCCACCGUGGAUUCUCCCUUCGGCUCCCCACUUUCAUCUGAAACUCCCUUCCUCUUCUUCCUUCUACUCUUCUUCUUCUUCUUCGUUUUGUUUUUAGCCUCUUCCUCACCUUCAUCGGCAUCAACAACACAAGAACCAUCGGACCCUCCAUUCUCUUCCCCUCGCUUCCUCUUCUUCGACUUCAAGUCGGAGUACAGCUUCUUCUUCUUCUUCUUAUUUCCAGCUUCGAGAUCCGGAAUCCCGCCAAUGAACCCGUACUCCGACUCGUCUAUCUCCUCCAAAGAAAGAAACCCUAAACCAACAACACCAGAGAAAAAAAUUAGAAACCAAAAGAAAGAAUCAAAUAAUCAUAUCGUAGUGAACACGAUGGAUCAAGAGAAGGCGAGGAGGAGGGUAAAGGAGACCUCCUUCGCUGCUUUCACCAAGGAGCAAGAAGGAGUCAUCGGCAGCGAGGGACCCGUUCCAAGGGAGCGAGUCCAGCUGGUCCGACUCUGGACCUUCUCCUCUCCUCGGAGGCUUCGCCUUCUUCUUAUCUUUUCGCUGCUUCUUGAUCGUGUUUCCCGGCAGUGGCGACGAUGGCUUGUCCAUCGCGGCGUCGAGAACGAGGGGGCAGCGUGCGGCGGAAGGACGAGAGUGGCGGUAACGAAGGGGAAAUAAAGCCUAAUCGUGAAACGGUUUUAAAUUUCAUAUAUUUUACGUCCUUAAUAUCCAUUAAAAAAUAAGUUAAAUCAUGAUUAUCAUCAAAAUUGGGCGAAUUCGUGGAAAAAAAUUUACUUUUAAAAUCUUUGAAUAACACAUUUCAACUUUAAAAAUUUUAAAAUAAGCAUCGGUAACUAUAUCAAAAAAUUAUCGGAUCCAUAGUCGCCAACUCGAUCGAUCAAGCUAUUGCACACCUUCCUUUUUAAAAUAGCAUCCGUGACUAUAUCGAUCAAGCUAUUGCACACCUUCCUUGUGAUCAUCUCAUAAGAAAGUGACAAUGAAGGCAAAUGCGUGAACCUCUCUCCCUUUCUUCCUCUCCUAUGAUUGAUAAUGAGAGCACAUGGAUCACAUCUCUUCUUCCUCAUCAUAAUCAACGAUGCAAGAGGGACUCGUGGGCAAAGACGAAGCCCCCCUAUCUUUCCUCCCUUAUAAUCAAUAACGAAAAUACACGAUUGUUCAUUCUCUCAUUUUUCCUCUAUAGUUAGCCUCCCUCCCCCCCUUUCCUUCCCCCCUUAUAGUCGACGACAAGAACUAUAAACUGAGGAGAGGGGGUGAGCUGUAAAUAGCAACAACGAAAGCAAUUGAUAAAGGAGGAAUUGAUUUAUCAACAAUGAUAACAAUAAUUAUAAAUGAUUAUUUAGAGGGUGGAAGGGGGCUACCUGAUGAAGUAGAGGCAUGAACAGGUGAUGGUCAAUAGGAGUAAAAUGAUCAUCUUAAAAAAAUAACAAUGUUUCAAAAAAAUUUUAAGUAGGAGCGUCACGUGAAAAUUUUUGAAAAGUAUUUAAAAAAAAAACAUCAAUCAAAAUUUAAGUUACCUAAAAGAUUCUCUAUUACUUCUAUUAAUUAUUAAAAUUUAUAUUUUCAAUAUAUUCAAGGAAAAUAUUAAUAUAAAUUUAGCUUUUCAAGUAUAAUAAGCGAACAACUAUAAUCUCGUUCCUACAACUAUAAUAAGCUUUUCAAGGAUAUAUGCAUGCUAAGGCAAAUAAAAAAUUAUUAUCUUUUGAAAAUAUAUAUAAGAUGAAUUCCCCGAUAAAAUUCUUCGCUUUUGGUUUUUUCUAAAUAACAUCCUUUUUUAUACGAAAUACCCCUGUUUUUGGAUAUCUCAACAUCAUUCUUCUUCUAUUUUUCCUCAUCUUUCCUUGAUUUUUUUGUUUGGGUUCAAUACAUCAACUUAUCAAGAAUUGAUCCAAUAAAUUAAACCGAAUCAAGUAAAUAAUAAAAAAGAUUAUAAAGAUGGAAUCGAUUCAUCAUAUGACUAGAUCUAUAAGAUGCGGAGACAUAAAACUAUGAUGGAUGAUAUCGAGAUAUUCGAGAAAAGAAAAAGAAUGUACUCAUAUUUUAGUAAUAAAAAUAAUAAAUCGACUGAAAUGGUAAGUGCAAAGUAUGGACCUUAUGUGAUAUUAAUAUUAAUUAUAUUUUUUAAUCGUAACCUUAAUAAAAGCAUUUGGUCUUUUAUCACCAUUAAACUGAACAUAAGGUUAUCUUAUUUUAAUGAUUUGAUUAAUAGAUCAUAGCCUAAGGAAUGACAGGAUUUAACCAAACCUCCCGACUCUGCAUUAAGAGGUCUUCUAGCAAACUGUUUCUGGGUAAUUUGGACGGCCAUGAACGACUUUCUAUUAUAUAUAUAUAUAUAUAUGUAUAUAUAUAUAUAUGUAUAUAUAUAUAUAUGUAUAUAUAUAUAUAUAUGUAUAUAUAUAUAUAUGUAUANNNNNNNNNNNNNNNNNNNNUAUAUAUAUAUAUGUAUAUAUAUAUAUAUAUGUAUAUAUAUAUAUAUGUAUAUAUAUAUAUAUGUAUAUAUAUAUAUAUGUAUAUAUAUAUAUAUGUAUAUAUAUAUAUAUGUACAUAUAUAUAUAGUUCUUAAUAAGUAUUGAAAAAAAGACAUAAAACCAUCCUUUCCAGUACUCCCAAAAACUCGUUCCACUGUGUCACAUGUCCUGCACAUGUUCAUUUAUGGCCAAUUCUCCACACUUGCCUUCCCGUUUGUGUCACGGAACAAGUUCAAUCGACGGCUGAGAUUGAUGCUAAGUUCAUGUUCUUACCGUCGGGCGUCAUCGUCGCACCACACCAAAUAAUAUCUCCGGGCCAUGGGAUUGGCCCGCUCAUGAAAACCAACGGUCGAGAUUUAAGCUCAACUCACGCAUACCGACGGACCUUAAGCUGUGCCGUCUCCUAUCUUCCCAAACUUUGUAUCCGUACGAAAACUUCUAUGCGUUUAAGAUCAGGAACCUUGCUCUUAGUUUUAACGUUCAUGAUCCACUACUUACCUUCCCGCAUAUAACUUACGACGUACAGUGAACCUGGUUCGGAGUUAAACGGACCGAAUGCGAAGCUUUGGUUCGGAUCCGAGCCAAGGGAGUUCGAGACCAGGCAGCGGUUUGAUCUCCCCUCCUCCCCCUCUCCCCUUCUCUCUCCAUUCAUUGUAAAUGUGGAACUCCUCGCCUUCGGUUUUAUCACAACUCGUUAACAUACUCUUUCUUCGAUCCCCUUCUUCGCCUCCUCCAUCCAGAUCUCCAUAUUUUCUGUCUUUCUUUGGGCCUCAGAUGUCGGUCGUGAUCCGGGAAUUAUAGAGGAGAUGGCGGUCUGAAGGUUGGAUUCCGAAAUUCAUUUGCUCGCCUGCGCGUAAUCUGCAAUCGUGGGGUUCAUUUGUGUUUGUUGCUGAUCCUAAUUUUGUUUCUUGCCUCCAACUGGAAUUUCCGAUGUUGAUACGGGUUUCUGUAAUGUAGGACGUGAUCUCGAUAUUUUCUCUUGGAUUCUCGUUGCCUGCUUUCUGCGUCUGGAGUUUGUUGGCCUGGUUAGCUAAUUUGGCGGCGAAGAUUGAAAAGAAACAGGAAUUGAGAUUGAUCGUGUACAGUGUCGUGGAUUGGAGCAUUAAUUAUGGCUCAGAGUAACUGGGAAGCGGAUAAGAUGUGAGUAGGACGAACCUUGAUUUUCUUUGUUUGUGUUUCGGAUUUUGAAUUUUGGAAUUAUAUGCUUUGUUGGUUAUUCUGAAUUCUCCUUCAUUUUGAUUCUUUCUUGUUAGGCUUGAUGUUUAUAUACAUGAUUAUCUUUUGAAACGAAACCUGCAAGCCACUGCCAAAGCUUUCAAGGAAGAGGGAAAAGUUUCGACGGACCCUGUGGGUGAGUAAACUUCUUUCUCUAUGCUGUUUCUUAUUGAUACUUUCUUUAUAAUCAAGCGGGAAAGAUCUAUUGAUUUUAUUUUUAUUAUACAAAUUCCCUCAUAGGUUUUAAGAAGUGGUAGUAUUUGGCAAUUCCUGGGUAUUUAACUAUCUUGAUAAGAGUUUGACAUAGGGUCGGUUUGGAUAUCUGCAAAUGUGGUGUUCAACAUUACAAAGCCGCUCAAGUGCAGAUUCUAAAUAUCUUUUACUAUUAAAGAAAGUAAACUAAGUAUCUCAUGUUUCUUGCUGGUGGUGAACAUGAUUUCGUGCCACAUAUGACUUCAAAUAAAAUUCAACAAUACAAUUACUGUUCUGUGCAAGAAUCAUGCCACAAUUGACUUAUAAAGGAAUCAUCCAACCAAUCAGAACAAAUUUUCUUCAACAUCGUAAGAAAAUCAUCUGUACAUUCAAUCAUUUUUAUUUAGAAGAUUCACACUUGUAUUCGGACCAGUUAACAAUGUAACUUGGGUUGAUUUGCAGCAAUUGAUGCUCCCGGGGGCUUCCUAUUUGAGUGGUGGUCUGUUUUCUGGGAUAUCUUCAUUGCUAGAACAAAUGAAAAGCAUUCUCAAGUAGCUGCAGCAUAUAUAGAGGUAACUUCCUGGCAAUGUUUUGUCAUUUGCUGGUUCACUUGAUGGUCCAAUUGAACUUCAAUAUAACUCCCAGACACAACGGACAAAAGCAAAGGAAGAACAUCAAAGACAGUUACAUAUGCAGCAACUGCAAGUCAUGCAGCAGCAACAUGCUCAAAUGCACCGAAGAGGUGCUAAUCAUCCUGCAAUUGGUGGGACAAUAAAUGCAACAAACACUAAUGGCAAUUUAGGCCCGUCAACAGCUAGUUUAUUGGCUGCUAAGAUGUAUGAAGAGCGCAUGAAACAACCACAGUCAGUGGAUACUGAAAUAUCCCCACAAUUUCUUGAUGCUAAUAGAGUUGCGCUUCUAAAAUCUGCAACCAGCCAUCCAGGGUAUUGACUAAUGUUUGAAUCCCAUUGUUACUAGGAUCGUUAGUAACAGGAACCAAUGACUUGUUCUUUCUAAACUGAUGAUGCAGGCAGUUUAUCCAAAGCAAUCCUGUCGGUGGAUCUGCUGCCAUGCAGCAUAUUCAGGGACAAAAUCAACAGACAUCUGUAAUCCCUUGCACCAUUUGUCCCUUUUUUCAUUUAUCUUUCCUUGUAUGUUUAUGUUCAUUCUGUCAACUUACGUGCAACUGUUGUGGAACAUUAAGGGUGUCAUGGGUGCAGAACAAAGAUCUUUGCAUAUGGAUCCCUCUUCACUGUAUAGCCAAGGAAUUAUGCAGGCAAAAUCUGGAUUAAGUGGCGCUGGUAAGCAACUGCUUUGGAAAAUUCAUAAAAUGAUUUUGUCUUGCACAUGUCCUUUCAAUUAUAUAACAAUUGUUCAUAUAUAAAUCAUGAAAGUUUGGCAAUCUUGGAUUUUCAAAUAUUGCAUGAAGGGACUAUAUAUCAUUUCUUUUGUAUGCAUUUAUGUAUUCAAAACAUAUGUUACAAACCAUGUGCCAAUCAAAAUCACUUCAAUAAUAAUUUCUUUUGUAUACAUAUCAUUUCUUUUGUUUUAAUUUGGUAUUUUGUUAUAUUUGAAAUCAAAAUCACUUUAUUAUAAUCAAUAUUGAUUGUAUUAGCCAAGAAUAUAUGAGAGAAUACUAAAUCAAGUUUUUUUAUUUUUCUGGUGUACCAUGUGCCAAUAUGCCAUACACGUUGGACCUGUACUGGUCAGGGCGGGGCAUGGAUUAAUACAAGCCCAGUACCUGAAAUUUGAUUCCAUGGUAACAAAUAUCUAAAAUCUGCAACUUGCAUUUACUUGCACUUGCUUUUCCUAUUUUGCAGGGAUGAACCAAGGUGUUAAUGGUCUUCCACUAAAGGGCUGGCCUUUGAGGGUAUUAACAAUUGCUCUUUUUUAAAAAAAACUUUACUUUUUCCUUUUAUUCGACAAUGUUUCCUGUGUACUGAUUUACCAAUUUGAUAGGGAAUUGACCAAUUACGCCAAAAUUUUGGCUCACAAGUAAACAAACCGUUUGUACCAAAUCAGAGCCAGUUUCAGCUUUUAUCGCCAGACCACCAACAGCAAAUUUUAGCACAGGCCCAGGCACAAAGCAAUACUGAUUCAUCCAACUAUGGCAUGGAUCCGCGCCGGCUUCGAGCCUUGCCUAGGAGUGAACUUGGUGGAAAAGAUGGCCAACUCAAUGGAAAUGACGCAUCAAUUGGUUCUCCUAGUCAAUCAAGUUCGCCAAAGGUCAGACAGGAUCAGGCUUUCAUGAAGGUUGGUUCUGUUAUGUUAUCCUUAAAAAGUGAUAAGAUGUGGAACAGGUUUGAAUUUAACUUAGGUUGCAAAUGUAGAUAUGGGUCAACAAACUGCAAAGAGCAGACUCAAGCUGCAUUUUGGGUGCUUCCUUGUGUUUUUUCUUCUUUUGUGUUUGUUCUUUUUCUUUUUUAUUUUUCUGUGUGUGCAUGUUGGGGAGGUUGGAACCUUGCACUCUUGCAUAUAUCUGAAGGUGACAUAUCAUUCAGCCUUCUGUUUACUUCUACAUGGUACCUUUGUUAGCUUCCUCAUCAUCGACUUUCAAGAUCUAUUUAUUCAUUUCACUCAUGGGCAAGUUGUUUGUCAUAAUUUGAAUUGAUUGUUUACGUAGACCAGUCACUAUUAUUUGAUGAAUAAAAGGCAAGAUAAGUAGUGUGGAGAGUCAUAGGCCUGCUGAAUGUAGUAACAUAUUGUAUACCAUGACUGUUCUGGCAAGAAAUGGUCUAGUAAAUUAGGAACUUGUGGAGACAAAGUCCUAAGAAGUCAGAGUUUGUGGAGUAAAAAUUUAACAGUUUACAUGCUGAAAUAUGGCUGUAUGUUGUUAAGGUUUAAGACUUUAAGGUCACUUCUAUACAAUUUUGAGGAUUUUUAGUGGAUUUAUCUAAAGUUUUGUAUCUCAUAAACAGAUAGUUGGAUCUUAAUCAUGAUGUUGAGCAAAGAAGCAAGUCUUAUGACAGUAUAAUACUAAUGUCCAAAAGAUGUCCGAUGGGCUAGCAAAAAUAUAUGGAAAAUUGAUUUUUAUGUCUAUCUUCGAACCAGUCUGAAUGCUAUUAAAAUCUCUUAUGAACUUUUUGAUUGUAUCAUGGAUCAAGUUAUGGAUUUUGUUGAGGUCAUAUGAUCUAUACUUGACUUUGUUUAAUCUUCUAGCUAAAACUUAUAGUUUCAUUGAAUAUAUUGAUGCUCUUGAAGUGUUGGCAUUGUUUUGUGCUAACUGGAUACGGUUAGUAUAGGAUUGAUCCUGACUGGCACUGCCUCUGCCAUCCCAGUAUUUAGUUGGCAACAAGUAAAUAUGUUUAAUAGGAAAUUGGGAAUAUCUUUAGCAACAAGUAAUUAUGUUGAGGUCAUAUGAUCCAUACUUGACUUGGUUUAAUCUUCUAGCUAAAACUUAUAGUUUCAUUGAAUAUAUUGAUGCUCUUGAAGUGUUGGCAUUGUUUUGUGCUAACUGGAUACGGUUAGUAAUAGGAUUGAUCCUGACUGGCACUGCCUCUGCCAUCCCGGUAUUUAGUUGGCACUCUACUGGCCAACUAAAUAAACUUUUGAUUACAGUAUUCUAAUUUUCUAAUUCACAAUAAUUAAUUAUUUUAAUAUUCUGAAAUCUCUGAUCUCUUAGCAGCAAUUAUCAGACGUGAUUUUACAUAAGAAACACCAGGCUUGUGUCUAGGCCUAUUUGGACUUGUUGCAGUCAUAAGAUUUUGAUCUGGCGGACCGUCACAUAAUGAUACCACUAGCACACACAAAAUAAUAAUUAUUAUUAUUAUGUGAACUUAGGCUGUAUUUCAUGGUAGGUAUUAUCCUAAUUUCAUUCAUAGAAUAUUCCAUUAAUAUGCUAGUGAUUUGUCUGCAAUCUUGCUGCACCAGAAGUGCAGAACUUUGGUACAAAUAGUGAGACUAAACAAGUAGUGAGUUCCUUUAAGAUAUGAAAACUGAGUUACACAAGGUGUGUGGAACUGUCAGAUGGAAUCUUUGAUUUGUGUUACCUGCAUCAAUACCAUUUUAACAAAAUUUGAUAAAAGACCAAGCUACUUUUGAUUCUAAAUAGGAUCAGGAAAUGCUCAUUUACAUGUAUUCAACUCUACCCCAACAUCAAAACCAAUCUAUUACCAGGUCACAUAGACUUAUGCUUGGAAAUGUAACGUUAAGCAAAAUUCAGGAAUAUCUCCUCACUCCAAACAAACAUGUAAAUAUAGAGUACAAAAGCAGAAUAUUUUAUGGCCUCUGCCAUCCCGUCAUCCUAACUUCAUUAUAAUAGACAUACUGAAGAAAAUGCACAGGUGGUGUCUGCUCCAAACAUCUCUGUUAUGUCUAUUACUGAUUUAGCAGAAUUUAGGAUUAUCAAUUUUUUACUCUGAAGCACAAUUGUAGGAACCCAUGCAAUAAUAUUUGUCCGAUGAUUAGGCUAUCAGAUCUUUCUUUUUUGGCUGUCAUAUUUUAAGAAUUUAAUUGAUGUAAUUUGAAAUCUACAUUCUAUCUCAAACAUGUAUAUAUCUGUGUUGUAAUUAUCUCUUUUUGCUAGUGUCUACGAGAUCAUAAUUUCUUCUGAACAAAAACUUCUGACAUGUUUGGGAAUAAAAUGUCACUAAACUGUAAAAUGAACUAGAAACCUUAGCUGCAAAUUUUCUGUUCGGUUUCAUGACAGAUUCUUGAUUAAUUAGGGUAUGUAACAAGUCAUGUUAUAUGUUGAAUACUAAUUUUUAAGAUUCUUGACUUGCCAUUUUACUCAAUGUUUGGAACCGUAAGGAGAUGCUUGAUGGUAGUUGUCAUAAUGAUAUAGUUCCUUAUUCCUUCUUUGAGUUUACAGUUUUCCAACUUCAUGUGCGCGCUUAUGUGACUAAUUAAUCUAUCAUUAACCUCUACGCUACUAUAUGUAACAUACGCCUCCCUAGCAAAAACAGCAUUAUCUGCUUCUCUAACGCUUGUUUUUAAUUUUUAACUCAACCCAGAUGCAGCAGUCAUCUAAUCAACAAACACAUGAACUGGUGCAGGAACAACAACUGCAACAGGUAUUCAUGUAGAGUUCAUCUCUCUCCCCCUCUCCGUCUGUCCCUUUCUUCUCAGUCUUCCUUCCCUCCUCUUUCUGAGAAUUUAUACAUCUUUCUAAAUUCAAACUGAUUGAUAUUGAAAAUUUGCCCACAACUCCUAGAAUACCAGGAAGAGAAAACCUAGUACUUCUGGAGCUGCAAAUAGUACUGGUACAGGAAAUACUGUUGCACGUUCUGCUAACUCUCCUCCAUCAACUCCUUCCAUUCAUACAACUGGUGAUGGAGUUUCGAUGGCUAGCAACCUGCAAAAUGCAAGCACCAUGUCCAAAAGUUUGAUGAUGUAUGGAACCGAUAGAGCAGGUGGACUUGUUUCUUCUUCAAAUCAGAUGGUAUGCCCAAACACAACUCUUUUAGUUUUAUUAUCAUGAAAAGUGGAAGAUAGUGAUUUAGUAACAUCUAAUUAAGAUAAUGUGAAUUUUUUAUUGUAGGAUGACCUGGAGAAUUUUGGGGAUGUUGGUUCUUUGGAUGACAAUGUUGAAUCCUUCCUUUCAAAUGAUGAUGGAGAUGGAAGGGAUAUAUUUGCUGCAUUGAAAAGUACUGCCGAGCACAAUGUGGAAUCUUUGAAUGGUGCCUGCUUUUUCCAACUGUUAUUCACCUUCAUAUCCCUAUCAAAUAACCAUUAACAUGUUCUGCAUCUCCCUGUUAGGUACGUUUAAUGAGUUUGGUUGCAUACGUACCAGUAACAGCAAGGUAGUUGCUUGUCACUUCUCUUCAGAUGGGAAGAUGCUCGCUAGUGGUGGGCAUGAUAAAAUGGUAAAGUAUAAAGUGCAAAUUUGUGAAUUUGUUUGUUUAAACUUUGAUGUAUAGGUUGGUGCUGCAUAAGUACUGUAACUUUUUCCCACCCAAUAUAGUUAUCAAGUUCCAUGUUACAUAAUUAGCAUCUGUUAUUUGAAAAAUCAAGAAUGAGUUAUGUUUAUCAGACCAUACUUCUGUUACAAAUCCACGAACUAUUUCCUAUUCUUUAAUGUUUUGAUGUUGCCAGUCAGGAUGCUUGAAAAUGAUUCUUGUACAACUUUCUCAGUGACUUAUAGAAGGUGUUAUGUCAAUCUUAAAUUGAUUGAAAAACAUACAUUUUAAAUUUAUCUACUAUUUGCCUGCAUUUGAAGGGUAAACAAAAUAUUACUUGACUAUGUACCUAUUCUCCUUAUGACUGUUUAAGCAUGUCGCUAAGUUGUGAAGGAGAUUACAUACUAGGUGAAUAAUAAUUGUUUGUGCAUUGUUUAAGUAGCAUCUAACAUUGCUACUACUAUAAAAAUAUUAUUAAACUGGACAUUCAACUAGAUAAAUGGUGCAAUGAUGCAACCUUGUUCUCCUUCUAGGUAGAUGGGUAAAUUCAGUGAUUCAUAUUUUCAUAAGACAAAUUACAGUUGGCAUUGCAUGUCAAUUCUGUGGUAUUGCAUGUGAACAUUUAGUUGAACUUCCAAUCCUCUUGUGUAGCUUUGAAGAGAAGUUUCGGUGGGAUUAAAGCAUUAGUUGCUGUAAGUAUGCAAGUCCUUGUAGCAAUUAAGGACUGAAGAGCGCAACUGCAAAUGGGAAAGUUUAAAUGUCUUUUUGGCAUGCCACCUGUGUUGGUAAUGUGCCGACAUGAGCCAACAUAGCAUUUAAAGCACUAUUUAGCAACAAGGGCGAAACUACUCUUGGGAAAAGAAUACCAAGGUAUUUAGUGAUUGCAACAAUAGAGUUCCACAGAAAAUUUUGAAUCUGUUUCCCCUUCAGUAAUUGUAAUUUGGGUGAAUGAAGAAGGAAUUUAAGAAUUAUAAUUCAUGGGAGGGGAUGAAAGGGGUCCUGACAAUGACCAUAAUUCUAACAGUAUGUGUUGCCUCAUCUGGUGGUCCUUGCUACAUAGUAGUUUGGUCGCCGACUCAUUCACCGUUAUCCACAGGUUUCACCUUAAAUCACUGUCAAUGAAAGGAGAGUACUAGGGAGCACUAGUGUCACGAAGUUGGAGAAACCAAAAUUCAUUCAGUUGCAAAAUACAAUGAUAUCUUGCCUUAAGAAAUCAUAAGUUGGUACGGAGGUUGAACAUUUCUUCAUUUGACUGCUAACGGCUUGUAGGGAAGCGGAACAUCUCUUUGAUGAGAUCCUUGUGUGGUGUUACCAUCAUAGACAGAACAUUGGAACGUAUAGAGGUUGUUGAUUGUCUAUGGUAGAUGUGAUAUGUGUAACAAGGGAAAAGAUGAAUGAAGAAAAUGCAGAGCCAAGAUCUCUAUUUCUUUACCAUGGUAAAAGCCAAUUCCACUGGUAUUUUUGGCCUUUAAAAACUCUCCCAAAUGACUGACGAUAGAUAAUUCCAUUCCAAAGUAAAAUUGUCAUGGAAACUUGUAGUGCUCCAAUAUUACAUAUUUACAAACAAGUCUAUUGGUUGUCAGCUAACUUUAGGGUUCCAUGUUGAGAUCAUGUCAGCAUCCCAUUGUACGGUCAACUUAUCAAAACUGUUGAUAGUUCAAAACCAUGGCCUAGGAAUUUGUAAAUGUUGUUUCUUGUUGAGAAAUUAAAAAAAGGAAAGAGUGCAUUAUUCGUUUAAAGGGAAAGCAUGCAUCUCAUCUAAUUGAUGCAUGCUAUCACCCUUCUCUACCCCCUCCUUUCUUGUUCAUCUUUGCCUCCUGUGUGGUAGCAGUAGUCUGGUUGACUUCAAGAAUUAAAGUUCUGGCAUUUCUAGUAACUGUAUGCAAAUCUUAAACCUGAAUAUGCAUUUUACAUGUUGACGGAGUCUUGAUUUAUUCCGUAAAGUUAUAUCAUAUGGAACACAUGUUAAUGACUUAUUAAUAUUGCAACUAGUUAAAAUAUAUUAAACAAGUAUUCCUGUCUCCAAGAUUAUGCAUAGUCCAUUAGCUGUCUUCUAAAUAAAAUUUUCUGCAAUGUACAGUAGAAAGUAAAAUGCUACUGUUGAACUCAUCAUUAAGUGGCCAUCAUAUGCAUUUUGGCAUGAUGGUAUUGUACCAGUACUGAGCCAUUGAAUUCGAAAAAUAGACAACCACAUGGUUUGUUUUAUCGGUCUAUACCAAUGCACCAACCGGCCAUUGGUAUAGUACAUACUGAACCAUACCGACGUAUUAAUGCCUGGUACGGUGGGGCGUACUAAUAAACUAGUAAGUACCAGCUAUACCAGUCCCCUGUCAGAGGUACAUACCACCCAUACCGGGUGGUACGUCACGACACGGCGAACCUUGGACAAUCAUAUGUUAUCUCACUUGAUUCUAAAGAAAGAAGUAAAUCUGGUAAAUGAAAUAAGUAAAUCUGUACUUAUUCUGUUGAGAGAUAUGAGGAAAACGGAAGUGUGUCAUAUUUGGGAGAUAUUAAGCUUCUAGCUAACUGUAACAAAGGAUUUUCUGAAUUUCAUAUAAGAAACUCUUCUGUUUGUUCUUCAUGUACAAGUAGGGUUUCUUUGCUUUGGUUACAAUGGUGUUCUUCUGUUUGCUGAUUCUUCCAUUUGUAUCCAUGUUGGAUAUUAAUAACAAACUUAACUGCCAUGGUUUAUUUUGCAAUUGUUUAUCUAGAAAAAAUCGGGUUCUUACCAUCUAAUGUUCUAUCUGAUAGGUUGUUAUCUGGAACAUGGAUACACUGCAAACUGUGAGCAGUUCCCAAGAGCACUCUCAUAUCAUUACAGAUGUCUGUUUUCAGCCAAACUCAAGUCAGCUGGCAACAUCAUCCUUUGAUAAAACUGUUCGAAUAUGGAAUGCAGCUGAAGUAUGGUUUUUUUAACACCUUUACUUACAUUGUAGGUUGUUAGUUGUUUAUAGUUGCUAAUUAUUGCUGAGAUAUAACUACAAAAUACAAUGUACUAAAUCAUAUCAAAUUUUGUGACCUCAAAUUAUUUCUAAAAGCUUGUUUAGUAAGAUCUAAAAGUCCGAUUUUUAACAUCUUUUUAGGUCAUGCCCUUGUUCUUCUAAGUUCCAACCAUUCUGUUAUAAAUCUGUCUGCAUUUUCCAAGUUUGAUCUUUCCUUUGUUCUGACUAUUAAUUGUUAAGUCACAUCAAUUUAACAUCUCUUAACUUUUUCACUUAAUGUUUGUUUCAUUUUUUUUCACUAAACUUUUCACUUAAUUUAACAUCUCUUAAGCUUUCUUCAUUUCUAGCCAUAUCCCAUUUUAAAAACUGUAAGCUUAGAGCCAUUCAUAUGUUAGUUCUGUUUAGAUGUUAUGGUUACUUUUAUUAUUCUUUUUAUGCUUAUUAUGUUCCCUUGUUUCUAUUGUAGUCAAUUCAUUGUCUAAAUACUUUCACGGGACACGGCUCACAUGUAACAUCACUUGAUUUUCAUCCUAAAGAGAUGGAUAUCUUCUGCUCUUGUGAUGACAAUGGUGAGAUUAGGUACUGGAAUGCCAACCAGUAUUUAUGUACCCGUGUUUCUAAGGUUAGUUUCAUAACAUCUUUAUUUAUUUUCUUGGUUAAUCACAAAGUUCAAGUUUUGGAAUCUUUUUUUGGUGAACCAGGGUGCUACGGUACAGGUAAGAUUUCAGCCUAGAAGUGGACAAUUUUUGGCUGCAGCUGCAGAAAAUGUGAUUUCUAUUUUUGAUGUUGAAACACAUACACCUACACGCACAUUACAGGUCAUUUUGGGCAAACUUCUUAACUUCUAGAAUACUUGGAUCAAUGUUUCCUUUCAUUGUUUGACAAUCUAUCUUUAUGAAGUACAGGGCCAUAAGAAGGAGGUACAUUCUAUUUGCUGGGAUGCAAAUGGCAAUACUCUUGCUUCUGUUAGUCAGGACCUAGUUAAAAUAUGGUCUUUGCAUACCUGGGAUUGUAUCCAUGAACUAAACUCCAAUGGUAAUCCGUUCCAUUCAUGUAUCUUCCACCCAAGAUUCCCCCAAAUUUUGAUUAUCGGAGGCUAUCAGGUAAAUGUGUCUAUCUUAAUCAUAUAAUGUUGUCUAGGUAGUUUGCAUGCCAUACAUGAAAGGUGUACAAACAUUGCAUUAUUAUCUUUUUCUAAUAGUUAAGUAAUCUGCUUUUACCACUUUGUAUUGAAUUUUGAUAUCAAGAUCUGUUUACAAAUAUGCAUGGUAGCCAAUUAGCAAGCAAACUGCUAGAGGCUAUAUGAAUAGGCUCCUGUCAGACACUAUCCUAAUGAAGUCCUUGUUUAUCAUGCAUUCUCCGGAAGCUGUUUAACCAUUUAGAGUUUAUAAAAGUCUUAAUUAGAACCUUAAACAACCAUUAUGGAAUUUUGCUUCUGAGAAAAAUAUUUUGACCAUCUAAUAACAAAAGAACCUGAAAGUUUUAAUGCUGUUGCAGAACACUGCUUAUGGCUACUUUAUAUAGCUGCCUUUUAAACCUCAUCCUGCUUGCUUUCUAAUUUAUUGAUCCAACAAGUGUAUUUUGCCUCUAUGAAGAUUGGAAUUGUUAGAAAACUUAGUAGAAAUCUCUGCUCACCAUCAACAAAAUGUCACCUUCGGUUACAAACUUCCACCAUAUGUUUUCUAAGGUUUCAAAUGUUGAGAAAUCUUAUCUAGUGUGGAUACUUUCUCAGUAUUCGGCAAAUGAAUACAAUUUAAGUGGUUUCUCUUAAUUGAAAGGACAAACAGCUUGUAUAUGGGUUCCAUUGCUUGCUUAUUUCUCUUCCGAUUUAUGCAGUCGCUGGAGUUGUGGAACGUGAUUGAGAACCAGACCAUUUCAGUCCCAGCACAUGAAGGCGUUAUUGCAGCUUUGGCACAAUCACACUCAACUGGAAUGAUUGCAUCUGCUAGCCAUGACAAAUCUGUUAAAAUUUGGAAAUAAUGGUAGCAGUUAAACCCUGUUCAUGACACUUUGUUAAAUUUGGAGCAGGGAAGGAAAAAGAAAUGCUGAAAGAGAUGAUGGUCGUAUGGUGCUCUUCAUUUAUCAUGUUUAUAUAUGGCCUUCGUUUCAUCUGCAGUGUAAGCACAAUAAAGUAAGAGGCCGAUGGUCUUUUGUGGGUUUCAAUUAUGUCCCUUUGUGUGAAAGAUGCAACUUCUCUCAUCUAGGGAGCCAGAUCGGAGAGGGUACAGAAGAGAGCACAAUAUUUGGUUCUUUUACUUCAUUCUCGUUUUUUUCCAUAUAAUAGCCUUCAAAGAUGUGUAUAAUAUGGGGACUCAGACUUGGAACAUCAAACUUUUUUGGUCCCGUGAAAAUCUUCAACCAAGUUUGAUUCAGAUGAACCCACAUUUGGAUGACAUAAUGGACAUCAUGGAGAUUGCUUGUUUAUUACGGGUCUCACAUCUGUUGCAGAGUGAUUUGAUUUAAGGAAUACUUGUUCAUGCGCCUGUGUCAAGAGACUGGUUGCAGAGUUUGACUUCUUCAGUUGUGUUGAUAGUAACAGAAGCAGAUAUGAUAUUCCUCAAGAUGCCUUGUGAGUACUUCUAAAGAUUUGUUCGCAGCAGAGUAAAUUCACAGAGGUGUUGGGAACCUGAAAUUGUGAGUACUCACAAGAUGCUUUGUGAGUACUUCUAAAGAUUCGAUUCUCUUAACGUGGUCAAUUCACAGAGGUGCUGGGAACCUGAAAUUGGAGUUGCAGUGAGAUGUUGGAGUUAAUUCGGACGACAGGUGCUGUUCUGUUCGAGGACUUUACAUUUGAUCUUUUAUGUUGUAUGCUACAAUGGAUGCCUUGAAGCAUUCAUAGGAUGUCAUAUUUUCUGACAUUUUCAUUCUGCUCAAACUUAUAUAUAGGUUAUCUUUGCCAUUUUGGCUUCUUUUUUUUUUUUUAGGAAAAUGACUUCAUUAGAGUCCAAGAUGGUUAGCGGUGUAUGUUGGAAACGAACAACGCAGACCACCUUGGCCAGCAAUAGAAUGUCUCCAUGGAAACUCCUUAACGCCGGACACAUAUCAUUAACAAGAUUUAUCCAUUCCAGAGAGCGUGUACAUGUCAAUAUGUAAUUCCAUCCUCGAGCUUUAGCUCUGCUAGGCGCAUCCAGUAAUAUGCUCUACCUUCAGCUUGUUUCGGGUUUUGAACGUUGCAGCUAGCACAGCCAGCAGCCAUCAGGAGUCCUUGUUUGGAUUGGACAGUAUGCCCCGGACCUGCAGCAUUAGUAGAAUAAGCAAAGAACCAUCACAUUCUAUAACUGGUGCAUAUUCCCCCUCGAUGUGAGAUUGUAUGCAAAUGGGUCUGAACAAUCCUCUCAGGGCAUUGGUUACCUCUCACGAACACACAUGAUAAGAUAUGCUUGCUCAAUAGGACAAUAAGAAGACCGGAACAGAUAUGGUAAGACAUGGUUGCCCAAGAAUAGGAGAAGAAUAAGAGGAGAGAGAGAGAGAGUUAAGUGCACCCGGAUAUCAUUGGCAUUCGGAGAUCAGUUUCUGUACCAUCCGAGACGCCAUUCAACUUGCACUGCCGGGUAUGGUUUGACUUCCGGCGUCCUGUGGUCUCAUUUGUCAGACCAAAGUCAAAACCAUGGCCACAGUUUUUCCUCUCUCUCUCUCUCUCUCCCACCUUGUUGAGACCAAGCUCCGUAACAGUAAGUAAUAUAUAUUAGCCUCUAAGUGUGAGGUCGCAUUUACUGUAGUCGGGUGGCUGAUGGGUUGCAGUAAAAGGUACCAACUCUUACCGUCUCUUCUAUCUCUAUAUAACUCUCGCCAGCUCUAACUCAGUGCGAGAACAACCUUUUCCUAGUCGGGGGUCCUUAAUUUGUUGUUGUUGUUGUGCAAUGAGAGUCUCUGGUGGGGCGGCUCGAUGGCUUGUGACCAUUGUUGCAUUACUCCUUGUUUCCUUGGUUUAUGAAGCCACUACCGAAGCCAGUGGUGUGGGUGAUGAGAAGAACUUCUAUGGCCGUCGGCAUGGCUACGAGGGUGGCCUCGGCCAUGAUAUCUACAGCAAGGGGUUUAGGCAUGAGUUUGGUCAUGGGAGGCUUGGAAGUGGUGGAGGCUUAAGUGGUGGUUUUGACGGUGAAGCCGGAGGUGGACUCGGUGGAGGAGCUUGUGGCCUUGGUGGUGGAGCCGGCGGUGGGCUUGGUGGAGGUGGUGGUCUUGGCGAUGGCGGAGGGCUCGGAGGCAUUGGUGGAAUUGGAGGUGGAGCUGAAGGAAGCACUGGCGGUGAAUCCGGGGGUGCACUUGGAGGAGGUGCCGGAGCUGGAGGAGGGAUUGGUGGUGGAGCAACGGGACGUGGCUUCGGUGGUGGAGUGGGAGUUGGCGGGGGCCUUGGAAGCGGCGGCGGCGGGUUCGGGGUUGGAUUCGGGGCUGGUGGAGGGUUUGGUGCAGGUGUUGGGUUUGGCGGAGGCUUUGGUGGAGGGUCUGGUGGUGGUGGUGGAGGAGUAGGACUUGGUGGCGUGCCGAGGCCGGGUUCGGAGGUGGUCACUGAUAUGAAAGCAAAUAUCAACAGUUCUUUUUGUUGGUCGUGUUACGUGUGUGGAACACAACAUGGACAAAUGUUGAACGUAAAAAGUGUGACUCAAAAUUGGCAUCCGUUAAAUAUAUUUAAUUAAGAUAUAUUAUAGAUUUGAUUAAAUUUUGAUGAUAGUUAUCAGUUAAUUAAAAAUUUUAAUUCUAUUGAUAAUUAUCAACUAAUAAAAUAGUUUAAUUAUAAUAAAAUUUCUUAGAAAAUGAUAUUGACCGGAGAAACUCUCGUAAUCAUUUAUUUUAAAUUUUUUGCUCUUGUUUAUAAAUAGAAGAGCAAAUGUGUGGAUACAUUAUAUUAUUGAAAGAUUAUAGAUCUUCUCUCAGCUGUUUUUAAUUACGUAAGUUAAUCAUUGAGAAAUUUUAUAUCUUUUAUUAUCUUUUUUUUUCCCUAAUCUAGCGCUAAUAAUGAUCCUUUAAAAGAUAGGAGAAAAGGCGAAUUUAGUUCUCAUUGCAUAUGUACAUCACUUUGGGUUUUGGACCCACAAUGUCCUUACAUAUCAAAUAAAUAUGAUUUAUUACUAUUUGAUUUCAAAUCUGACAUUAAAGUUUUUCAUAUAACAAUAACAUAUUAUGUUUUUUAUGUUUACAAGUAGUAUGGAGCCAAAUUUUUUAAAAUCAAACACUUUAGAUCUAUUUAUUAGCACCAUUCACUUGUGAAAAUGUAUCAUUUGGUUUUGAUUUAUAACGCUUCAAUGAUUUGUGUAUAUUGUUGAUCUAUCUUUCUAUUUAAUCCAUCAUAUUUCCUACUUGCGGGUGAUGCAAGGUUUCUUGGAUUUGAUUAAUGGACCACGAUGGUAUUAUUGAGGGUGACGGUCUUCGAUGAUCAUCAGCCCAAUCGUGGGCAAUAGUUGGUUAUGCAACGAAAUCACCGUGGAGUGCGAUAGCCCUAUGGUGGGUAUAUUGGAUGCAAUAUCGCCAUUGCAUAUGAUCGUUGUAGUAGCACCGUUGCUAGUGGCAGCUACGAUGACUACAAUAGUGUCGCUGUCGAUGGCAGUUACAAUGAUUGCAGUAGUGCCGUUGCGACGGUUGCGACAAUGUUGUUGCGGUGGCAUCUGCUGGUCGCGGGCCUUGUUAUUGGACACCAAAGCCCAAUGGUUAUAUUGAGUAGAAGCGUGUGCAUAGUCGCAUCACGACAAUGGUGGGGCCACUAAGCAGCGUGUGCAUACAACUGUGCAUGGGCACUGACGACACAACACCACACAUGCGAUAAGUAAUGUUGCCACUAUAGGUGGCAACAUGCGGUGCACAAGCGACGAUCACAUAAUGCGACAAACACAUAAACGAUUAUUGCACACCGUAGCGAGCGCACUGACAGCAACUAUAGAAAGAGAAAUAGGGUUUGAAUUUCAAAAUUAUGGUUUUACCCUUAUAAAUUUUAUUAAUUCUAAUUUUAUAUCUUAUAAAAUUAUAGUUUUAACCCUAAGAAAUUGAGAAUUUCUACUUUGUGUCCUUAAUUAUAAAAUUGAUCAAUAUGAUUUAUUAUUAAUCAAAUAUUUUGAUUGAAUCUAGUAUUUUGAUUGUUUGAUUGGAUUUAGAUUUGAUUAAUUAAGUUUUGAUAGAAUUUGAAAACAGUCAAAAUUUUGAUUUUUUUAACUUACUUAAUUGGACUACUUUUAACCCAAUUCUAGGCUUACCUAAUUAAAUAGGAUUGAUCGGUCUAAUUCAGGAUUUCAUGCAGUAUUAUUAAAAAAUAUAUAAAUUAUGAUAUUCUUUUAUAGUUUUCUCAUAUGACAUGUUUUUGCAUGUGAUAAUUAAACUCCAAUUAUUGUUUUUAGGUAUUUGUUUAGUUAUUUAGAUGUAUAUCUUUAAGAUUAUGAAAUUAUAUUUAUUCUUUACAUAAAGACAUGAUUUAUAUUUUAUUAUGAUUACAAUUAUCAUAUAGGUUUUAAUUUAUGUAGAUUAAUAUUUAAUAAUUAUCAUGAUUAUUAUUUUGUUAUUAUUGAAUUAUUUUAACAUAAAUUAGAUUAAAGCAUACUUAGUGAAUAUUAUUUAUAACUUAUAUCUCUGAGUUUUAUAUAACUAGUAACUACCAGAUAAACUUAUAAGAUAUAAAUUAUAAUAAAUAUUAUCAUUUGUAGGUAAUUUGUAUUUUAUAUUACUAUAUUAGUUUUUUAGCUAUCAAAGUAGUCUAGACUAAUAACUUAUAAAAUUAUAUUAAGAAAUUAGUCCUAAAUGAUAUUUAAAAAAAUAAUAUUCAUAAUUACAUAUAUAAUUAGGAGAUUUAGAUAAUCUUAAAAGAGAAUCUACUUCAAAUAAUUAUGUGAUGGGAUAUGAUGUUAUUGUUUUUCGAUAUCAUUGUAGCUUAAUGUUAUAUACACAAAAGUAACAAUACUAUUAUAUAAAAAUGGUAUUAGUUCUCCGAUAUUCUAUAGAGAUAAAAGUCUUAAACAAGGGAAAGAAAAGCUGCAUACUAAAUUUCUUCAAGAUUCAAUUAAUAUAUCUGUUUUAAGAUAGUCCUAGUAAUUCCUGACAUCUAUUCUUGAAUAUCUUAAUAUUAAUAACAUAGGUUAUCUUAUUUAUAUCAACUAUUUUAAAAUUCUUGAUGAGAAAUAUCUUGGUUUUAUGCACUAAACUAAGAUUGUUAUUAGCAAGCAAAAUAUCAUUCACACGUAAGAUUAAUAUAAUAAACUUGCUAUCAAUAACUUUUAGAUAUAUGUAUUAAUCAAUAAUUUUUUUAAAAAAAUUUGAAAGAAGUAAUAGUAUUAUAAAACUUUAUAUAUAAAUUUUCACUAAUCUUUGAAAGCUUGUUUAGAUUUUCUAAAUCUUUGAAAACUUUAUAUAUAAAUACAUUUUCUAAGUUUACAAGUUCAAUUUUCAUAUAGAUUUUAUCAUCUAUAUCUCCAUUCUAAAAUAUUAUUUUCAUAUCCAUCUAAUAUAACUCAAGAUUAUAAUAAGAUACUAAUACCAUAAUGAUCUUUAACAAAUCCUUUUUAGAAAUUAGAGAAAAAAUCACAUUAUAGUUGAUGUCUUUUUUUUAGAAAAAUCUUUGAUCACAAGUCUGACUUUAUAUCGUUCAAUAUUGUUCAUUAAGUCACGUUUUAUCUUAGAGAUCUAUUUACAACUAACCCUUUGACGGGACAAUUCAAUGAGUUCUCAAAUACUAUUCUUGCCUAUGAUUUUUAUUUUUAUUUCAUCACAUCAUAUUACUUUUCAAAAUCUUUAUUUUCUAUACACUAGUAACCUCACAAUUGUUCUCCAUGCAUAUAUAUAUAUAUAUAUAUAUAUAUAUAUAUAUAUAUAGAGAGAGAGAGAGAGAGAGAGAGAGAGAGAGAGAGAGAGAGAGAGAGGCACACAAGAUUUUAUUUAUUUCGUCGAGCACAUCAUCAAGGAAGAGCGACAAUCCGUAGUCAGUUCUUAGGCCUAAACUCGAUGCCUUGAACGAUGAGUCCCCACUUCCAGUUCAUCUCCGUCACCUGACGGAACCUGAAGCGGACACUUUCUUCGUAAUCAUCAUUGAGGAACUCUCCCAUUUCGAUCUCCAUCCAUCCGUCAUCUCUGGCACGGGGGAUUUGUGUGGUUGGAUCGGUAGUCCUACGUCUCCCUGGUUUCAGGAUUACUCUGGUUUCAGAUACAUGAGCUCCAAUACUAAUCGAUGCUUCUUGCACCGGGGAUUGAAAUCCUCCCGAAUUUUCCUGCAGCUGAAAGAUGAAGUAGGCAGCAUAACAUGUUUUAGGAGAUAGCAUGGUACUUCUGAUUUCGCCACCAAGAUCUAACCAACAGACUUGCAUGAGCUGAGCCACCUCCGCAAACCUGUGACACAAAGACGAGAGGACAUAAACAAGGGGGCCAAACAUUUGCUCUGUUGAAGUUGCCCAUGAUUUGGAAGGGAAGGGAAGCGAAGCGAAGGCAACGUGGAAGUAAAAGCACAAUUGCAGGAUAUCAGAACACACCUCGAUUCAUAAUCGGAAGUGAAGGUCCAGUAUCUGUUGUCACCGCCCCAAGUAAUCCAUAGAUCUCUAGAGGAUACCAUCAAGCAGUUCCUGCCAGUUGACCUCUCCAGUGCAAAGCUCUGCAAUUCCAACGUCCAUGCCAAUCUGUGAUCUCCCUAGGGACUCGUCGCGGGUAACAAGAUCUAACCAAUUUCCUGCACAUGCGUACGCUACACCAACGUAUCUUACAGAGAGACGAUUACCUUGUUGCCGCCGUCGAUGAGGAUGGGAUCGCAGAGGCGGGAAAAGAGCUCCUUCUUGGAGGAGAACUCGAUGGGAGCCACCGCCCGUGGUAGGAUCUCAUCGAUAUUGGACGGCAGGAACCGCUUCCACAGCUCGUCCGACGACGAAGCUGCUCGGAAGAGACGGGAGACGGCCGAUGAUCUGCCGGCGUCGGCGGGGGUGGUGAAGGCGAGCACCUUGGAGACGACGUCGCUCGGCAUUUCAUCGAGGCUCUUCACUGCUUCCAUCUUCUCUCGAUGUCUUCUUUGUUUCUUGUCACUUCUUGAUCUAUUUCAAUUGGGCAUGAGAUGCCGACCGGGUCGCCGGAGAGUUUGACUUCGACGUUCGGGAAACUUCCCGGAAUUCCACAAUUGGACGUGUCACUCCCCACAGUUACGACAUAUGCGGACACCCCCUCUCCUCUCUUUUGGAUCCGUGCCAGAUCAGCGAUCACUGCUUGUUGGGUCCGGCCCACGGGCUUCGACUGGAUAAUAAGGGCAUCGAGUCUGAUCAAUUACUAAAAAAAUUGAGGUCGUUCGCAGAGGUGGUCGAAGGGAAAAAAAA
This 48354-nucleotide long non-coding RNA is filed under the name Musa acuminata (dwarf banana). RNAcentral describes it as "long non-coding RNA (MACU_LNC002501)". Lineage: Eukaryota; Viridiplantae; Streptophyta; Magnoliopsida; Zingiberales; Musaceae. The record is from RNAcentral.